AGAGAGAGAGAGAGAGAGAGAGAGAGAUGUUGAAAGAGAGGGUUCAGCUACUCCGAAAUCCUGAGAGGGUGGAAGAUGGAUAACGUGCGGUCCAGCGAAACAGAAAGGAAUUUUUCAAAUCCAGUACCAUUCAAUUCCAACCUCCCAACAAAGCACUCAAACACAACUUGACAGCUACCCCUCUUUGAUCAUAUAUCUUUCUUUGAUCAUAUAACAAGUGUUAUAGUAUAUGAAUAAAAUGGUAACACAUCAAAGUUAGAGCUUAAUCAUAUACUCUCAAAAUAAUUAAAUACUUGCACAAAAUAAACUUAAGUUGAAAAUAAAUUUUAAUUAAAUUGAAAAAAAUUAUAAUAGUAGUUAGAUUUUUUUUAUUUUUGGAUUUUUUUUUUCCCUUGGUAAUUUGAUUUGAUACUAGGCAGGACGAAACCAAACAACAAAAAUGAGCAUUUACGAACCACAAUAACUUCCAACCCCCCAUCAAAACUAAGUCAAUUAGUAGUUUUUUUUUUUUUUUUUCGAAAGUAGAAGUUCACAAGAAUAUCCAUUUAUUAGUUGAAGUGUCAAGUAAAGAACAAAAGUAGCACAAAGAAGAGAGUUGUAUCAUCAUUUAUCUUAGGGAAAUUAAUCAAUUAAAAAAAAGGGAAAAAAACAGAAAAGUGCUACCUAGCAUGGGAAAAUUAAGUAUUUUUGAUAAGAUAUCAACUUGUAUGAAUGAUAACAAAUAUAUACUUCUCGUAGAAUAAACAAAAAAGACACCAAAAAACAUGGGCAGUAAAAUUGUAGCUUAUUAAGAUAAUUUAGCACCUCUGAUAGGAAUAAAAGCACCAUUAGUUAAGCGGAAAACAAAUACGAACUCAACUUGUUCCUCCCUAACCAUUUAUGCAUACAUCGCGAGAUGACUAGAGCUCAUAAGAAAAGCUAUGGAAUGUGCGUGCAACCGGGGCUCGACACAAUCGACCGAGACUAGGAAUCUCUUCUCGUGAUGUCGUGAUAGCUUGAGGUGUAAUCUGCAAUUAUCAUAAAAUUAUAUACUAUUGUUGUUUACUUCUUAGCCAUGAAAAGUAAAAAUGCACUGCAGAGAGACAAAGAAUCUAAAGCAGCACAGAGAAAGAAAUUCUAAGCCACAGAAGUUUUUGAGGGAUUUUGUUUCUGAAGUUGUAGAGCAAAAAUGUAAUCAAUUAGCUUCUACUUCUUGGAAUAGAGUAAGGUUUCCAAAAAAGCUAAAUGGGCAGUUACACACCCUGUUAGUUUGCUUAUCUAGUAUAUACUCUAGAAAACUCAACAUCCAGGAUCUAUAAAGAUUAUGCGCUUAUUACCAAAAUUGCGCUUCAGUUCACACAGAUAAGCCAACAAAAUAACUUCAUAAAAAUUAUAAGGAAAAGCAAAGACUAUGGAUCUUCACACCUGAGAUUGUAAUAUUGAGGGUCUUCUCUAGACAUAUAUGAAGACACAUCAGGGUAGUGUAGCUGUAGGAUAUAACUGAACCCAGGCAAAUUCCUCUUUGUACCCCAUGCUUGUUUCGCAGGAUUCUAAACAUGUGUAUACAACAAUAGUUGCCCAAUCAAGGGAAUCGGGAUCAUUUUUCACCCCGAAGUAAUAAAGCAACUGCGGCAUGAUCUGCAUUGAUAAAUCAUUCUUUAGGGUGUGUUAAUUUGAAUAUCUAAUAACAAUUUAGGGUAUUGUAGUAAAAUCUGAUUCGCAGGCCCAUAUGUAUAAGAGUAUCUAAUGCUGCAAGUAAAAUUAAGAAUUUUUUUUUUUUGAAGGAUAUAAACAUAAAUAGAAAAUUCGCAGCGGUAUAGAUGUAAAUCUCUUUUUAUGUUUACGGCCAGAGUUGCAUAGUGGAUAUGUGUAAGAUGAAAAUAUAAGCUAACUGGUAAAAAGGAGAAAGAAAGGUCUACUAAACCUGGAAUUCAUAGCAUAAUGGGCCUUUACAGUAGCUGCAUGAAGGUAUAUCUGCCUUAGAUGGCCGGCCAAUUGAUAAAGGCCACAGUGGUCUCGCCAUUGGAUCUCGGCAAUAUCUGUUCAAAAAAGGUUUUUAAGAAACUUGUAAUCAGCAUAUCCCAUAGUAGCAAAGAAAAAUCAUAACAAGAGAGGAAAAAGAAGAUAAUACGAAAUUGACCUUACGAGUACACGCGUAAAUUUCUAGGAACACCAAUUAGUUAAAAAGAAAUUCAUCACAGACAUUAAUCAUGUAAUGAUGGUUACAAGGCAUGAGAAUGCUUUCACCUUAAAACUUGCUCUGGUGCUCUGGCGAGUCGCUCUUGGAAAGAUGCCCAACUCUUUUUAUCAGCGUCAGCCUGCAUAUAGAUAUGCAGAUCUACAUAAAGCCAUGAAUCCAACUAUAGCAUUUGUAUGAACUCAAAUAUGGCGGAGGAAAACCUCAAAUUGAUCCAUCAACGACUGCACCAUCUCAUCUUUCUUAUUAUUAUCUGUUGGAACCAAAGAUGUUGAGCUAUUCUCUUCAGAAACCUCAGAAUUAAAAACAUAUUCCUCCUCAAUCGCAAUCUCAUAUUCAGGCCAUAAAGUGGUGCUCGCAACUGUAGAUAAGAGAAAUGUAUAUAGUUUAUUUCGAUAAUUUAAUAGCUUGAAAGGACAUAUACCUAAGAAUUAACAUUUUGCCAAAGCUUGAAGCUUUUCCCGGUUAUCACCUAGAGGAGAAUCAGAUGCUUCUGAACUGAUUAUACGACGGCAAUCAUUCUUAUGUCCUGAUCGCCAGUGCAACGCCUGAUAAAGAGAAAAUAAUGACAAAAUGAUUUCUCUUAUAAAAACAGAAAGGUAAAUGAAGAACUAAAACCAAGAAAAUACGGACAAAUAUCAUAUGUACAAACCUGAUGCUUCUCUGAACAGUAGCGUGCUUUCCUACAACUACUGCAGAGUUUCUCUCCUUUCCAUGUUCCGCACCAGCAACAAAGAGAAACUAGAGAAUCCAUCAUUAAAGCAAAAUGUGAAACCACAAAACUACAGUCUGUAUAAUUGUCCAUAAUUAACACAAUUGUACCGGUUUUUAAGAGGCCGACUAAUAUUUCCCAUACUAAGACAAGUUAACUAGAAAAUUUGCAUACCACAAACUGCUACCUUAAAGAAAAUCUUAAUCCCUAACAGAACAGCACAUAAUUUUUAAGAAAACCUCCUUACUUCGAAACAAAAGCAUAUAAUUUAUCUAUAAGAGAGGUCCUAAUUAUGGGUAGGAACAUAGAUAGGUAGGAAGAAAACAGUUUACAAUAAAGUGAUCGGAAUGAAAAAACAGUGUUGCGACAACAGGAAAUCGCCCGGCAAUCCUAAAAAAGAACCUUAAAAUAUAUUAAAGAUGUACAGAGCACUUAAUAGGCUACGCACAACAAAAGGGAACAAUAAUUACCUCCUGUGCAAAGUGGCUUGUCGGUGCCGUCACGCCUCGGUGGUUCGCUCGAGUAAAAUGGAUUCGUCCGAGGUAGCUGACAUCGGAAAACCUUCACACUUGAACAAUUUCGAGUAGGCAAAACCCAGGUCAGGCAACCAAAAUUAGACAAAAAACCAAUAAUAGAUUGACAAACAAAGAAAAUUAAAGUGCAAAAGCAAUGAUAAAUAAAAAUCUGAACAACCUUCUACAAAGAUUCCCUCCUUCACGCUUCCACUGUUCAUGUUGGUCUCGAAGAAGGCAUGACAUAGAUGGGCACAUGAAAACGAAUAAUGUACGAUGAAAGGUCGAUUUUUUCUCAGAGAUUGGAGCAUAAAUCUACAAAAUCAAUCAUUAUAUUACAACAAAAUCAAAACUUGAAUCAAAAGAAAAAAAAAAAAGGGUACUACCUGAAGAAGGAAUUGCAGAGGCUCUCCGCAGAAGCCACAAGUGCGAGAUUUCUCUGGCGGUAAGUUUACGGGAUCCAACCAGGCCUUAAAACAAGAAAAUUAUAAAAAAAUAUCAACAAAUAAGCAUGAAUUUCAGUAAAAAUAGAAGGAUUUAAAGGUAAAGCUCAACUACCUCCUCGCAAGCUCCCCUUUUUUUUCCCCUUUUUUUAAAUAAUUUUGGGCCAUUUUUGGCCCAACUAUAGGGUUUAGUGCUAUUGGAUGACACACAACUUAGCAUUAAAUCAAAAAUUUCUUAGCAAAUCUCUCUGCAGUAGAAGUUUAAGCAUAAAAUUGAAGCAUCUAAAGCACUGGACUUAGUAAACGCUGCACGCAAAAGCGGGGCCAAAAAGGCACUUAGUAAACAAAAAGAGGGAUUUUUACGGUUCAGGACAUACGGGAACCCCUCCAGCUUUGCUCGGGAAGAGAUGGCGGAGAAGCGACCGGGGAUUCUUGGGCUUCUCGACGAACCCUAGGGUUACUCCCUCAUCCUCUUCCUCCUCUUCCUCCUCUUCCUCCUCCACGUCGUCGUGCUCGACCGCUUCCUUGCCUUCAUCUCCUUCCAAGCCUUCCAUGGUAGUUAUUCGCAGUUUGCGGAGAUCCUCGAGCUCGGAAUCCAUUGUCGUCUGUAAUAUCCCCGGACUAUCCGCAACCGCCGAUGAUGAGAGCUCGCUGAGGCCGGUACGGCGGAGAGGAUAAUGGGAGCUUCUUGAUGGUAAUUACGAUGUAAUGGAUUGCCGGAAUGGAUAAGAGAGGAGCAGAGGGGGUUGAGAAAGAUGAAAUAGAGACGGUAGAGAGGAGAAUUAGAGAGAAAGGGGUUAGGGAUAGAGAUUAGAGAUAAAGAGUGGGAUAAGAAAUUGAAAAGAGAAAUAGUAGAGAAGAAGGAGGGUUUGGAGGAGGAGUUUUGGGGGAGAAAAAUAGACUAAUUUAUUCCCUUCUGCUCCGCCGAGCGCGCUCUUCCUCACUUGCUGCGGCCAUCAUUGCUGCUCCUGCUAUUGUAAAGUUGACAUUUUUACUUCCUUCCCUGCGUACUAUUAAACUACUACUACUGCUUCUACCAUUUAUUCUUCAGGAUUGUUACAUCGUCUUCGUCGAAUAUCAGGGGAAGGAGAAAACCCUAAUUUCUAAUUCUCUACGCCGUUCUCUCUCUAAAACCCUAAUUCCCAAUUUCCGGUCCACCCCUAGACCGGUCCGGUUUAGUCCCGAACCGGUUCGGUCCCGGUUUGGCGGGAAAAGCGCGCCCCUUUCCCGCCAUUUUCCUGCCCCUUCCCCCCCUUAUUCGGCCUCGUAGAUUCGUCUCCACUACACUUCUCCUCUCAAAGAAGCCAUUUUUAAGCAAAUUUACGUGAGUCGAAGCAUCUUUUUUUCUCAUUUAUUUUGAUUCUUUUUGGAAUGUGUUUGAUCUAUUUUUCUUCACUAUUUUGUCGAUCGGUGCGUAGGUGGAUUCGGUCAAAUCAUGGCGAAAGAGCGGAUUCCUAACGAAGGAGAUGAGAUGCAAAUUGAUGGUGGAGUUUGCGAGGAACGAGUGGCGAGAGCCAUUCCCGAAGGAUUCAACCCAGAUUAUCUCAAAAUUUACUACGGUGAUAAUCGAUGAUUAGAUGAAACAAUCAAUUUUUUCUCUUUUUUAUUUUCCUGUUUUUUGACAUUAUUUGUACUACUUCAAUGUGGAUUAUCUCAAAGCCUGCUACAGUGAUAAUCCAUGAAUCAAUGUAAUAAAACAUGGGUACUUAACCCAAUAGUUUGUGCACUUUCGGAAAAGAAAUCCAACUGACUCAUAGAGAAAUGGAAGAUGAGGGGAGAAAGGAAUUUGAUUGGUUAUUUACGACAAUAAGUUAUCUUUUCUAGGAAAAAUAAUUAACAGAUAUGCAUAUCAAAUCCUUAAGCUUUGACCAUGCAUACCUGUUAUCGAGGUAAAGUAAGUGACAAGUCUCGCAAUUUUGUUUUUGAUUUGUGCGAGCUGCGCGAAUUUGCUCAUGUUGUUUUGUCUGUGUUUGCACGAAGCCACGGUUUUCUGACAGUGAAUUUGUGCUAAUCUGUCACAGGAAAGCUCUUCCCGUAUGCCGAUAUGUUUAAAUGGCUGUCCUACGGAAAUGGUAUAUCACGUCUCAUAACGCGAAUUUAAAUGACAAUGCUGUUGUUUUAUUGGCUGUUCUAAUCUAUCUUGCCACGAUUUUGAUUCGGUUCUGCAGAUGGAAAGCAUCCAGCAUGCGAUCACUCCUACUUUGGUCGGCGUGAAUUCUCUUUUACUCUCGAGAAUGACAUCUACAUCCGGUUCCAGUCAUUUGGCAGUGCAAAGGAAAUGGAAAACUCGAUCAAGGAGAAGUGCCCUUUUAAGAUCGACAUUGGACCAGUUUAUAGCGUAGAUGUAUGGUGGAUGUGUUUUAAGCUUGAAUUCUGUAUGAUGGAGUGCACCAAUGGAUGAUGAAUUGUUUGCAAUCUAUACAGUUGAGGAUAAUUUUUUUGGCAACAAAAGAAAAAGGACUUAAUAGUAACUUAUUUUUGUAUUCUUUUCUUGAACAAGAUGUGUUUGCUAGCUGAUCAACAGUAAAAGAGUAGAGACGUCUAUUUGCUGAGUGCAUUCUAUCCUUAGAACUUUUGAGUUUCCUUAAAACAAAAGAUGUGGAAGUUCCCUUUUGUGGAUUUGCUUCAACAAUUUUUCCUUUAGUCAUUCUACUAAUCCUUCUUUUCUUUUUUUUUUCUUUUUUUUUGUUUGCAGCCUGCAAAACGGCAUGCCUAUGCACAAGGUGGAAAUAAUGUUUUUGCACCAGUAGAAAGAGAGCUUGUUUUUGACAUUGUAUGAUCAUUAGUCAUUUUCCGGGAUAAGAAUUAGAAAUAAUUUACUAUAAAUCGAGUUUAGAAGGCCUAAAUGCGCUCUAUAACUUUCACACUUACCAGGAUAUGUCAGAUUAUGAUGAUGUUCGAUACUGCUGCUCAGGAGCUGAUGUCUGCCUAGAGUGCUGGCCUUUAAUGACCAUUGCGAUCAAAGUUAUUGAUACUGCACUUAGAGGUUUGCUAUUUUUCAUUAAUUUUAUGAGGCAGCAAUUCUUUUAAUCGAUUUUAUUUCCUUUGUUAUGAAAGAGUAAGUUUUGUUUCAUUUUUUUUUUUCCUUUUGUAACAAACUUGUAGAUGAUUUUGGCUUCAACCAUAUCUUAUGGGUCUACAGUGGUCGCCGUGGUGUCCAUUGUUGGGUUUGCGACAGCAAAGCUAGAAGGUAUUCGAGAAAAAACCAUAAUGUAUUGUGUUUUUAUUGCUAAAGUUAUCUUAAGGAUAAUUUAUUUGGAAGCAACAAUUUUCAGGCUCAACAAUGAGCACAGGGCGGCAGUUACUGAUUACUUUCAUGUUUAUAAGGUGAUACUUCUACCUCACAAAAUAUACAGUCAAAGCUUCCGAUGCGCUAACUAAAUGGAAGUUUUCUAUCUGCUUGUUUAGGGUGGUGAAAAUAGUUUGAAGAAAGUGACCUUAGCAGGACCGGUUCUCUAUCCUUUUCUAGCGUAUGUCUUGUCUUAUUUAUGCAUGCAUAUUCAACACCUAUAUUUAUCUGAAAAUGUUAUUUGGAGUAUUUACUUCAUUUGCAGGAGGUCGUAUACAGAUGUCCUUAAGUCCUUUUUUGAAGAGAAACUACUUCGUAGCCAGAACCUGCUAGCUUCUGAAGAGAGAUGCCAGAAGAUUUUGGGAUUCAUACCUGAUGAAUGUAAACAAACAUACGAGCUAGUUGAUUGUUUUUGCUUUGAAGUUCCUACUCCAUUCUUCUUGAUAAGUUCUUCUCUUUUCAGCUGUUGCUGCGGAGCUUCUUGACAAGUGGCAAGGAAAUAGAAGAUCUUCCAUUUCCAAGGAAGAUGUUAAUGUUGUUCGAUGGGACCAAUUAAAGCAUAUGCUGCAGUCGGGAAAGCAAAAGGUGCAAUUGAUGGUUUGAUUGUAGCUUUUGAUGUAUAUGCCUUUACAUGCAGAUUCUAGGUUUCCUACGAUCUCCUUUUUGCUUUAUUGUCUUGCUUUUGUAGAAUAUACGUAAGCAUAUAGAGGGAGAAAUCAUUAAGCAAUGGUUAAUACAUACAUAUAAUUGGCGAUAUUGCUUAUAUUAACAAUUUGUUUAGGGAGAUUUGUGUUUAGGAAUAACUAUAUUGAACUACUGGAGAUUUUCUGAGAAGGAUGAAUUUGUCAGAAGGAUGUAAUAUGACCUUACAGUUUGUUGAACUUUGUGGUGUAUAAAAGGUAUCUCUUGAUGUUUUUCGAUAUAUCAGGAGCAUACAAUGUGAAUGGGUGAAUCCAAAGCUCUAUCCUCUAGGAACUAUAAGAUAAAUGAUCGAAAUUCACUAUUUGUACAUUCUCUGUUUCAUUUUAGUCUAUAAUGCUAAAAUUGUUUCAGAUUAAGUAGUAUCUUUGAGAUGGAUAAGAGCAUGGCGAGGUUAUAAAUUCAUAAAACCAAAAGAGCAUUUUCCAUAGGUGUGUGAGAGAAAAACUUCAAGGAUGUAGCACAAUUUGUUCGCAAAUUUGCAAUAGAAUUCUUGUUAUUUAUGUUUUGUUACCUUGUUGUUUUUGUUUUCUGAACUCAUUCUUUUCCUUCUAUUUUUGUUGUUUCAGAUACAGGGGCUCCGUCGGUGUGUAGAAGAGAUUGUUUUCUCAUAUACCUACCCUAGACUUGACAUGGAGGUCUGCAGACUAAUACCUUUCUCUCACAUCCUUUGGCUAUGUUAAUUUGCUCCCUUUCCAGUUCCUUUGAAAUGUUUUUUUUUUUUUCGGUCAGGUCUCGAAACACAUGAAUCAUUUAUUAAAGGCACCAUUCUGUGUGCACCCUAAAACAGGUAAGAAUUGAAAAUGUCUGCAUGGUAAUUGUGAGCUGUAACAGAGUGAACAAAUUUAGUUAGCUUGUUCUCAGUAGCAGUUAUUGCAAUGCCCUUCGCGAAGGUGAUUUUAUAGUGAUAACCGUUUUUCCUUUUGUAGGCCGCGUUUGUGUUCCAAUUGAUCCAAACAACUGUGAGGAUUUUGAUCCAACAACAGUCCCAACCCUGUCUCAUGUAUACUUUUGUUUACCUUAUUAUAAUUUCUCAUAUACUUAAAAAAGUACUGUCCACAUGAUAUAGAUACUAGUUAUAUUUUUUAUCUGUUGAUCUUUUUGUCUCUUUAAAAUAUGAGUGUCCGUUUUAAUCUCUUUCAUAUGGAGUCCGUGCAACCAGAAUUUGUUUUAAUUUGUUCUCCCUGAAGCUUUUGUGGCUUAUUACCGCAAUAGCUCUAUUUCAGAAAGAAAACAUUUUAUUUGCUACUCUUGUUGGUAAUUGUUCGCUUACUAAUGCUCUAUUAUGGCAAUAUGCAGCUUCUCGAAGAGAUUAAUGAGGGUUCUAUGAUGAUGGAAUCAAACAAUGGUAUGUAAACGGGAAUAACAUCUUGCUUUAUUACCAGUCUAAAGUAACUUUUCUCCACUGCUAUUUUUGAAGAACUGGGUUGAAUGCCAUUGAGCACCCAUGCCUUUUUCUUUCUGUUCACUUUUUUGUAUUACAGAAUGGGAAAGAUCGUCACUUGGGAAAUCAAUCGAGUUUUUCCGAUCAUCAUUCUUGCAGCCGCUGUUGAAGUCUUGCAAAGUAAGUUGAUUGCUGUUGCAUUUUCAAAAUUGAUUUCUUUCUUAAUCUCUUUGAAUCAGAGACAACAAUCAUGGCACCCUAAAGCCUAAACUUUGAUCAUUGUCUCUUACGCUAACUAUGUGAGGCUGCAACUAACCAUAUAUGGAUUCCAUAAUUUCUCACUCAGGUUCAGAAGCAGGAUUCAAAUUGGUUGAAUUGCUUCCAGUCCAAUCUAUAUCAACAGACUCAAAGCCACCUGAAAGAUUACACCUAUAUGUUAAUUUCUCUUAGAUUUUCCUAAUGAUGGUCAAUAGAAUUGCAUAUUGUGAUUCUUUUCAAGGAUUCCUCCAUUGUUAUCUAACUUAGUUUUAGUUAUAACCUGUCAACUUUUACUAAGUGUGCUCGUAUCUGAUGCACAGAUUCUUAGUUAUUAGAUAAAUAAAUUCGAACCAGCAAAUCAGCAAAAAAUUUAUAAUACAAGCAUCUGCUUUUGUGCUGCAUACGUAAAAAUGAAAUCAUUAAUGAAUUUGCUUAUUCGUAGUAGCUGCUGCUGCAGCAGCAAUAAUUUCAAAUUAUUACUGUUCUUUUUGCUGUCGGUGUAAAUGUAUCCAUUAUCCCUGAAAAUUGAUGAUUUUGUUACAUGCAAAAUAUCUAAUGUCGGCGAGGAGGAUAUGGAAACAUCAACCUUUUUGAUAUGCUUAUGCUUUUGAUUGUGAUUGUUGAUGUGGUCAUCUUAUCUUGUUAAAACUUGACACAGGAGGAAAUGGAAAGUGCAUACAGUGCUAAGAUCAAGCAGUCUAAGAAUUCUUUGAGCUGGUAAAAUGAGCAUUUCAAGCUUCAUGAAUCAUCACUGGGAAAAGUGAAGUGCCCGAAACGAAAAGAUGAUACAGCAUGUUUUUGCGACGAGGAUCAACCUUACCGAUAAUCUAUUUAGAUUAUACUGUACCCUAAAAAAAACAAAGAGACUAAAACUGCUAAUUCCUAAUUGAUGUCCUAAAGUUGUAUAUAUUGUCACCCAGUGGGGGUGCUCUGUGUUAAACUUGUUGGUUGGUUGGAAGAAAUUCUUAUGUUCUAUUAGGUUUUCAGUAAGCCAAUGUGCUGUGUUGCAAUUUUAAGGCCUAGUUUGGUACCACCACUUUUCAUAUUUGUAUUUUUCAGCAAAAAUUGUUUGUUUCAAACAGCACAAUUUGGUCUCAAACCGUGUAAUUGUUUCUUCUUUUGUUUUUAGCCUUCUAUGUAGUAUACACCACAUGUGGUAGCCUUCUUAGGAGAAGAAAUUUAUUUUCUUCUUUCUUUUUGUUUUUCUUUCAUCCUUUGCAUCCCUUUUCACUACAACGCCCGCUCUCUCAUCCUCUGCCUUAGUCGCAGCCACUGCUUCUGUCCCAAAGUGCUCUCUUUUUUUUUUUUUGUUGUCGUUCUUAAAUUCUGCGGCACCCUCAUCGAUAUUAUUAUUUAUGAUCACGUCUUUCAAUACAGCCUUAUCUUUUUAAUCUGGCUUUUUUUAUAAAAUGACUCUUCAAAAUUUUAAAAUUGAAAAAAUAAUUCUGUCAAACUUUUAUUUGAAAAAAUAAUCAUCCUUUUGCCACAUAGUCGGCACGUCAGAUUUUUGUUAUGAAUAUAGUGAAUCAUUCACCGUCUUCACAUAUAUAUAAUGAAGGCGGUAAAUCAUUCACCGUCUUCAUAAUAUAUAUGUAAAUUUUGUUAGUUUACUAAAGGUUCAAAUUUAAUCUGUAAAUUUUAAAAAAUAAUUUAUUUUUGAAAAAAAAAAUGCAAAACCAGUAGAUCCUUUGUACAAAUUGGCUCAUUUUUUUUAUCAUAUAGAAGUUGCUUUCGAAAAUGGGCAAGCCCGACCCGAUUCCUAGUAAAAUGGAUUUGGUCCGGACUCGGGCUUAGAGUGGCCCGGUUCAAACCCGACCCAAUUCCACCCGCUACCAGGGAUCAUAAGUCCGCUUACUGGUGGUGCGCUUGUACGGAUACACCGGGUGCACGUAUUAAUUUCCCUCUCGAGGAAGAGACCCCGUACACGAGGGUUCUGUGGAGAGGUUUUAGCUCCUCGGCGCGAAGAAUCGCGGGGCGCGACUCAUACGCCGCCGCUCCCUCCGCCGCUCCCAAAACCCUCUCCUUUUCCUUCACCCUAAUCUCUCCUCUUCUCCUAUCGUGCCCUAAUCCUCUCUAUUAACUCCCAAUCGAGGAGAAAGGAGGAAGAGGAAGAGGAUGAACUCUCCCAACAUCAGAGAUCUCCUCACUUCUUUUAGCCCCUCCUCGGAUUUCUUCGCCAUCACCUCUGGCGAUGGCCGAAUCAAGGUGUGACUUUACUUAACUUUUCCUUCUCAGUUUCUCCUUUAUUUGGUAAUUUAUGAGAGAAAUUUGUGAAAUUGUUGGUUAAUUAGGUGAUAAUUAGUGGGUUCUAUGUUUUUUUAGAUCUGGGAUACUUUAAAAGGUCAGUUACAAACCCAGUUGCCGGAUUUCGCGGCGUCCGGCGAGUCGGGAUUGCUCUCGGAGGCGAAAAGUGGCCAUCUUGCGUUGGAUUACACUUGCAUGAAGUGGGUGCAGUUGCAAAGCAAGGUAAUUUUUUGAUGGAAGCUAACGAUGGGACUCUUUUUUGGAGUUUUAGGUUAUGCCCAUAAGGUGUUUGUGUUUGGAGCUGAUGAUGUUUGUGGGAUUUGUAGAAGAAGAGAAAGGGUGGAGGUUCGUUGUUGGUGCUCGGGACAGGAGGCGGUGAUGUUUUGGCGCUCGACGUCUCGGCGGGGCAAUCGAGAUGGAAAAUUAAUGAUUGCCAUCCUGGGUAAGUUGGUUAACUGCAUUGAAAACCAAUUAGGUUGAGUGUAUGAUUAUAUUUUGUGCUAGUUGUUUUCGCUGCUAUGUGUUGCUUGCCGCUUGUAGCUGAUUAGGGUUUAUUACUCUCUAACGUUUGUUCAAGGUGAAAAAAUGCCUUCUCAGGCUCAUUUUGAGAGGAACUCAAACCAAAAGCCAAUAAUAGUCCUUUAAUGACAACUAUUUUGUAGUGCAUAUAGAACUGGGAAGAGCGUCUCUAUCUAUAGCCCGCCUACCCAUGGAUGUGAAUGUUACUUUACAGUGAGGAGAGCCUUAAUUAGUACUUAUAGUGUUUUUGUCUUAUAACAGAAUUCUCUUGCCGAUCUAUGUAAUUUAGUGAUAAAUAUUAAAUUAGAUAAGAAAGAAAACUUCUACAUUUCCACUACUUUGAGAUCUUCGUGACGUGCUUUUUUGAAGUGGUGUAAUGGUUUAAAUUGCAGGGGUGUAACAGCCGUUUCCUUUUCUAUAAACCGCUUGUGCGUCUAUACAGCUGGUGUUGAUGGUAUGGUCUGCCAGAUUGAUAUUUCUACAGGAAAAGUUUUGGGCAGAUUUAGAUUGUCUGCAAAGCCAAUAUCCUCGUUGUCUCUUUCUUCAGGUACUGCACUGUUCACAUAAUAGUUUCUAAAUUUUUCCUGCUUAUGCUCCCCCCCCCCUCUCUCUCUCUCUCUCUCUCCCUCGCCACCCUUGUAGGUUAAUUUAGUGCUGCUUCACCUUCAUUAGGUUAGGUGCCAUGUAGGACAGAUUUCAACACUUCUGUAUAUUAAGAUAUUUGAGAUACACAGUUGUUAAAUUAUGCCUUUUGAAUGGCCCAUAUCCUAUUCUACGAUACAGCGAACCUUCGAAAUCCAUUUUUCUUCAUUGUGCUUUUCCGUAACGACAGAAGUUCUUUUAAGAUUUCAAACUUUUAAGAACAAUUUACUUUUAUCUUCUGUAUACUCUGGUUGACUCAUGUUAUUUUCUUCAUUAGAUGGAAAGAUAUUGGCCACAGCUACUGGUCAACUGAAAACUUUCGAUUGUUCUAACCAAAAGAAGAUUCAGAAGUUUUCUGGGCAUCCGGUGCGUGCAAUUUAGUGCCCUUACUUCGCCUUUUAUUCUCUCUUCCUUUUUACUUAUCUUAAUCUUUUCUAUAUGCAUUUAUAUCUAGGGUUGAUUAGAAAGUUAGUUACAUAAGUUUGACCUUCAUUACAAUUUUGUUGUCAUAGUUUCAAUUGUAAUAAUUUAGUCCCUGAAGUUUGUUCUGCAUAACAGUUUAAAUGUAUUUGUUAAUCUACCAUCUAUAAAGGGUGCAUGUCAGUACUAAGUUAAGACUUUGCUUUCAUAAUUUUGAAAAUCUGAGGGUGAAAUUGAAAUCGACCUUGAAGAACAAAUUUGUUAAAAGAAAUGAAACUUCUUGGAUGAGUAAACUGAAAUCUAAAUUAAGCUUAAGGGAUGAAAUUGUAAUUAACCGUCAAUUCUAUCAGCUAAUCUAUGAUCUGUGCUCUCUUUAGGUCAGCGUAAGGUGCAUGAUUUUCAGCGAGGACACACAGUAUAUUUUAUCAUCUGGAGUCGGUGAGAAAUACAUCGCCAUUUGGAAAGUCGGUGCUGUUAAAAGUGAGGGUGCGACCUGUAUUCUCUCAAUGGACCAUCCACCUAUCUUUCUGGAUAGCAAGUGCAUGGAUACAGAGGGCAGUGAUGGUGCAGGAAUAUAUGUUUUGGCCAUUUCAGAGAUGGGCAUAUGCUAUUUCUGGUAUGGAAGUAGCAUUGAUGACUUGAGGAAUAAGAAGCCUACAAAGAUUAUGUUAUCCGAGUCUUCUCUCACAAAAGGAAAUCAUGGAUUUGCAAUUCUUGCUGCAAAAAUUCAAGAAACAGGCAAACCUGCUUCUGGGCAAGUGCUUGUGGCCUGUGGCUCUGUUGUGAAGCCAUCUUUUCAGAAACUGUUGGUCCAGUAUGGCACGGACAUAAAGUUGGAGGUGUCUCAAGUUGGGGCUCUCUUACCAGUGAGUCACUCUGCCAUUCCUCACAAAGGCCAAGCCAUACAAAAUCAAGGUGCAACAUACAAUCAUAUUCAUCCCUACCAAAUCAUCUAUUUACAUAAUAUACAUGUAUUUUGCAUGCAUGCAUGUAAGCAUGUACAUACAUGCAAGUAGAUAAUAUUUUGCAGUGGUAUAUACGUACAUAUUUCUAACAUAACAAUGUUUUUGUAAAACCAUAACCUUUUGGGUUUUGAUGAGUUUCUUGGCCAACUCUGUUUGGAAUUCUGUUUGCAAUUCGGUUCCAGAAUUUUUUUUUUGGUUGAUGCAUCAACAAUCUCCUUCUUUGUUUCUUAGUUGUAGAUGUUUUUCAUCAACUCCACCUUUGCUGGAAAAUGACUCGUCUUUUUCUUGAACAGUCACUGCACUCGACCGUGCAAAUGCAGAAGAUGCUAUAUUGCCUCUUCCAAAGUUGUACACUUACGACAAGAAAAGGAAACAUCGUGUGACAGAACUAACUGCAGAUACUGAGAUUACGAUGGCUGAUGACAGUUAUGAUAAAACCUUGCCUGUAGAUAAGAGUGGUAAGUAUUCUUCUCAUGAAUGGUAAACUUUUCUUGAUAUUGUUUUCCUGAUCACUAGCAUAUAGAUUAAAAGAAGUGUAGAUAGAAACUCAACAAUAUGUUUUCAUACAAUUUCGUGUUUAUAGAUGGGCCUUUUUACUUUUGGGUAUAAAAGGGCUAAAUGUAUGUCAUUACAUGAUACUGUUCAAUACGGUGUUCUCGACUAUUCCGUAAUCUAAUUGAAUAUUCACUUAAUGGAAUAUUCUAUAGCUAUUUUGAUGGAAACUUCCAAUGCUAACAAAACUUGACAAAAUUUCUGGAGUAAUGAAAGGUUUUGUACAAUCAAAAUGCGUCUAUGCUCUAGUGAAGGUUUUUAUGGUGUUACCUCUUAACGGUUAAACUUGCCUCUGUAGUUCAUCUUUUUGCUGAAUAUUGCUGGCUUAUUUAGCGACAGUGCAAAGAAUGGAGGAAGAUGCAAUUUGCAUUGAAGAUAGGAUGAGGGAGUUGGGGCUUCUUAGUACCAGUUCUUAUCUAGAGAAGUAUCAUGAUAGCACCAUAUCACUAGAUGACGACACCCCAGCAAAGAAGGUUUUUAUUUUGUGAUUGUGAUUCCUGUCAAAUGUUCUUUUCAAGCAAAAAUUAACUUACUUUUGCAGUUAAGUCAACAGAAGUUUCUAACCCUCAUUGCUCUAUUGGUAGAUAAGGGCGCAUAUCUUGUCUAUGAGUCACGAUGAUGCUUGUAAGUUUUUGGAAACCUUGGUGUCAGCAUGGAAAACAAGGUAUGCUGAUUUCUACUUGCACAUUUGCCCCUGUAUUUCAGUUGUUCUUGGUGAUGCAGUGGGGACUGGAACCAAAUUUUUGUGCCAUUUUUCUUCUUCAGGUCAAAGUCGGCAAAGCAUAUUCUACCUUGGAUAUAUUGGUUACUAGCCAUCCAUGGUCGCUUUAUCUCAUCGCAAGAGUUAUCUUCACAAAUAUUAGAUAGUUUGCGGAAGGUACAUUUAGAACUUAAUGUAUUCUCUAAUGCUGAUGAUCAUGGUUAUACAUCAACUUGUGUUAGCUCUCCCAAUUUCAUUGUAUUGUUGUUUAAUAUUCGUUCCAUAAGCUUAAUAGGACUUUGGACAUCAAAGUAGAAUAAAAGGAGUCUUUAGGAGAGUUAAAGACAGAAUAGGGGAGCUUAGCGGCAUAAUAAGGUGCAGUUACUAUCCAAAAAAUGAGAGAAAUCACAAUUCCGUUUUGCAUUUGGCACAAACUAGUUCUCAGACAAAUAAAUAGGAAAAAGAAAACCCAAUUCUUAAAUACGAAAUAGUAAAUAAGGAGUGUUUUGUAUGACAAUCCUUAGCUUUUUGGUGUGCAAUGUCUUAUGGUUUCUUUUUUCUCCGCUCCCAGAUGAUUUCAGUAAAAUGUGCAGCUACCGAAGAAUUAUGCAAGCUAUCUGGCCGUCUUCAGCUAAUUACGGCCCAGGUUCUGAUGGAUUGAAAUUUUUAUUUUUUGAAAAUUUUUCCUAUACAAAUUAAAUCUACUGAAGCUUAUCACUUACAUGUUAAUAUCUUGAUCUCCUCUUUACCAGAUCGAUAAGGCCGGUAGUAAUGUUAUCAUACCGCCAUUGGGUGAUAUGAAGCCUAAAGAAGGUGAAGAUGAAGGAGAUGAUGAAGAGGAUGAGGAAAUCGAUGAAAUCGUUUACGGGGAAGAAGAUGAUGCAUCUGAAAGUAGUGGCGACGAUUCUGAAGAGCGUAUGCAGUCAUAGAUAGUAUUUUUGACAGUUUUAUUUGUUCGUGUUCUUUACAUCAAUUAUUUUUCUGCGAAAUUGAUGUAAAAUUAGUUGGUUCAAUCCCUGAGGUUUUAAGGGCAUUUUAAACCAUCUUUGUAUGCUUUGUAUCACGAAUAUUUCUACCCUUUUUGUGACAUUUUUGUGUUAUUUACUAAUUUAAUGGAGAGGUAAAAAAAAUUUAUAUCACUUUAGGCUAGUUCCGUAGGGCUAUAAAUGUGCAGUAAUGAAUAAGUUAAAAUGCGAAUAUUUGAGCUUAUAUAUAGAGAGGGAUAAGUUGGAAUAUUAUUAUAGCAAAUGAGUGUUUUUGCCAUCAAUUUAUUUUCAAUAAUGAAAUUUUUAAAUUGAUAAUUGGUAUUGUUGGAUAUAAUUUAUGUCAUUUAAAAUAUUUAGAAAUUUAAUUUUAUUAUUUUUUUGAUAUUAUUUUUUUUAUUCAUGAAAUGGAUAUAAAAAUGAAUGGCUGCUGCCUCCUAGUGCUUAAGAAUGGAGAGGCGGAUGGAGACGCGGAGAAAUACUAAACUUCAGGUUGUGGAGAGGUGGAUGGAGACGUGGAGAAAAAUACUCAAUUUUAGGUUGAGACGGAAAUGGAGAGGUGAGAAGAUAUUUACAGGUGCAAAAGGGUAUAUUUAAAAAAUGUUGAUAAAUUAUAAGGAAGUUCACUUCUCUUUCCUAUAAUAUUUUUGUACAGCUAGAAAUUCUAUAUGCAUUUGAUUCAUGUUACGUAGUAUUAUAGAUUAUUUCGACAUAAUUAGAUAUCUAAGAUUUCUGAAUUAAAUUACUAUUAAUAUUGUAUUACCGCGCUUGAUUUUAUACAGUAAUAUAAUAUCGGAUUAUAGUGUAUAUAGAAUUAUUAUGUUUGAUUUAUUUUAUAAAAUUCAGUAAUAUUAUCAAUAAAAUAUAGACUAUUUCAAAAUUAUCUACAUGGGCGUAUUUGGCAAACUUUUUUUUUCUUAUAAAUACUAAUUUUUUACUAGAUUUUAUUUUAAAAUAAUUUAAAUUUAAAAUUUAAAAUUUUAAAAUAUAAAUGUGAAAUUUAAAAAAUUAAAUUUAAAAGUUAGAAUUUAAUUUUAAAUUUUAAAUUUUAAAUUUAAAUCAAAAAUUUUAAAAGUGACAUAUUGAAAGGAUUUGGGAGGGGGUUGAAGGGAUAAAUUUAUAAUUUUAUAUAAUAUGCAAGAUUAUCAGUCAUUAGUAAUACAAGAUAUUCAUCCCCCGUUUGGUAAUAUUUUGGAGUAAUUCUAUACCAUUUAUAAUGCUACAUUACUUACCAGAUUACAAACUGUGUGAACCAAAUAUUUAAUAAUCUUAGCAAAAUUAUCUGUAAUCCUUACAAGAUAAUCUGAAUCAAAUACGUCCUGAAAAGAUCCCAGUAAUAUUUCAAAAUUUUGGCAAUUUACUGACCGUCUCUAGUGCAAGUGACAAAGGGCUUGAUGGUUGGUAUCUGAGGUCCCAAAUUCGAAUUCUAGUUGAUUCGCAUUUCUAACUAAAUUUACUGAUAGCAUGCUACCUAUCUCUCUCAAAAAAAAAAAAAAAAGAAAAAAAAAGGGGGGGAAUUUGAGCAUUAUAGAGUCACUCUCGAUUACUCGUCAUCCGCUUUGACAAUCUUCACCUACUUUCCCUUCUAGAUAGUAGAUAGCAAGCAAUCUUUGACCACCACUCACACAAAAUUAAUGCCAACAAAAAGAUGGUUAUAGCCGAGUCAGUAUGUUAGCCAAAGAGACCGUCCAAAUGAAGAAAAAAAUGUGAACGCUUCCACACCUUUGAGACCCACCUACCAUCAUUUAUUUAUUACACCCACCUACCAUGCUUACAAUCCACUAAACUAACCAUCUAUAUAAACCCCUCCUCACUUCACUAAAAAUCCCAUCCCUUCGUAUACAAGCUAACUACAAACUCUCUAAAGAGUACUAUAUAGUUUCCAUAGCAAGAGAUUAAUUUAGCUAAGGAAUUUAUAAGCAACAAUGAGUUCUCCUGCAAGCUGGAACCUUGAGAUCGAGUCCCCGGUCGCGGCGCCGCGCCUGUUCCGUGCCGCGGUCCUCGACUGGCACAACCUCGCCCCGAAGCUCGCCCCGGAGAUCGUCGUGAGCGCCGCUCCGAUCGAAGGCAACGGCGACGUCGGAAGUGUGAGACAGUUCAACUUCUCCCCAGGUACUCAUAUACAAGAGCUUGCAUGCUAAGAACACUGCAGUAGUUAUAAUAUUAUACGUACAUAGAGCCAUGUAUAUAUGUUCAUGCAUGUUUCUGUACACAGAUCGUAAUUAAUGAAUCUGAUCAGAUUGAGUCAAAACUCUGAUAUUAGUAAUUCAGAACUGUACGUAUAUUAAUAUUAUUAUUCUCUGAUAUAUUAUAAAGGGUCAAUUGUUUAUAUAUUUCUGAAAAAAAUUUGACUUUCUGAUUUACUCUUCUUAGAAGGCUAAUAUUGAAAAUAUUUUUUUUUACAUUCCAACAUAUUUCAAAUAUAUCUCUAGAGUUAAAUUCUGUUAAUGAACUAUUAGUAAUAAUUGUUAUCUGUAUAAAAUUGCUAUUUUACCUUUUCAAAUAUACAUUUCCAUCAUCAUCGAUUUUUCUUAUUUAUCUUUAAAUUUAGAGUGAAAAGGAUAUUUUAAUUUUUUUAAUUUUAAUAUAUAUUUAACUUAUAUUUAAUCUAAAUUAACUUAACGAGUGAUAACUGUAGUGGUGUUUUGAAAUAACGGAGAAAUAUAGGAGGCCGGAUAUAUUGGAAAGAAAAAAAAAAUAAAUGAGAUAUUUUUGAAAUUUAAAAAAAUGUAUAGAUGAUUAUUUUUAUUAUUAAAAUAAAAUAUUUUUAUUUUAAGUGGACUGAUUCAUAUCGGGACGAAUUGUUGCGUAAUCGCUCACGUGCCAUUACGUGAAAAUUACUUUAUUAGCACUUUUAUUAUUGUACCAAAUAUAUAUAUAAUAUAUAGACAAAAUACUCAAAUCAGAACAAGUCAAAAGCAACGUUUUUAAUUAAAAAAUGUUACUGUUCCGACCAAAAUUUUACUGCUUCAACAAAUGGUGGUACAUAUUCUUAGACCCGGUUAUCAUAUUUAAUAUACACAAAUCACAUACAAUAAAUUCGAUCAAUUUUAGCUAUAGUUAUAGAGAGCAAAUUCAAUAUACAAGCCUUUUUCCAGUAAUAUUAGAACUGCUAAUUAAUAUCAACUCCCCUUAUGUUAAUUCGCUCGCCUAAUUAAUGAGUGAUUCUCUUAUUAUGGUUCGGUUUAGAUGGUUACUUAAUUAUACUUCAACUAUUUUAGAUUGGAUUAAUGAAUGAUACAGAUAAAAUAUAUAGUACUACUAAUUAAUGUUAUUAUUAUUAUAUAUUAUUAACGCAUGGUCACUCUUUAAUUUGUAGCACUGCCCUUCGCGUACACGAAGGAGCGCCUGGACUACGUAGACCACGCCAAGUACGAGACCAAGCAAACCCUGAUCGAGGGCGGCGGCAUCGGCGUCAAGCUCGAGUCCGCGUCGUCCCACAUCAAGUUCGAGCCCGCGAGCAACGGCGGCUGCGUCUGCAAGGUCGUCGCGACCUACAAGCUCCUCCCGGGCGCCACCGUCGGCGACGAGGUCGCCAAGGCCAAGGACUCCAUCACCAAGAUCGUCAAAACUGCUGAGGCAUAUCUCCUCGCCAACCCAGAUGCUUACGUGUAAUCUGUUUAAUAUUGUAGCUAUGGCUGCUGCUGCUGCUGCCGCUGCUGAUACGACUACUAUAUAUUUGAGGUGUGUGGUCAAUUGUUAUAGUAAAAUAAGUUGGAAUAAUAAGUGUGUUAAGGAAAUUGUUUGUGUGUGAGAGAGAGAAGUGAGUAUAUAUGUACGAGUGUUUUGGGGCUUGUUUUGCGCUCUACCGAGAAAGCUUGUAUUAGCUCUUUGUGUGAUUGAGUAUUAAUAAAUAACGUUAUUUAUUAAAAUAUAAGUUAUGAAAAGUUUAAUUUAUGCGUUUAUUUAAAAAAAAAAAAGAAAAAAGAAAUAGCUCAAUAAUAUGUUCACUUUGUCCCAAUAAGAACUCCUCUCACAUUAUAAGAAACGAAGGUUCAACAUAAUGUUUUUAAAAAAUGGCUACUAAAAAAUAAUAUGAAUUUAGGAUCAGAUUCAGAAUAACGAACUAACACAUUAAAUGCUCACGUAAUGUUUUUUUUUUUCCCAAAAAAGAUUAAUUAAAAAUAUCAUAAAUUUAGAAUCGGAUUCAGAAUAACUAAAUCUCUCUCUCUCUCCUAUUUCAUAUUGUCAGAGAAAUUAGCCGCAGGCUUAAUUAAAUAUAUAGAAAUCACAAAUUAUGUAAAUCCAACAUCCCCUUACUUUAAACAAAAAAAAAAUAAAAUAAAAAAUAAAAUAAAAAAUUACACAACCAUCUCACCUGCAAAGUUUCCCCUCCCCCAUUUGCUUCCUUUUCACCUUCCCCCACAUCAAAUCAAUCAAAUCGAAUCAGACCGAACUGAACUGAAUUCGAGCUCGAAUCCCAACCCGAAUCCGAAAUUGAAAUCGCGGGUCAAAUUCUAAAUUUUUAAAAUUUUGGUUUAGUGGGUCCGGGUGGGCUGGGACUGGGGCAGCAGGCCGGGGAUGUAGGGCACCCCGGUCCUGGGGAUCCAGCGGUGGCCUUGCAGGAAGUGCUCGACGGUGAACUUCUGCGCGUGCUCGUAGCUCACCUUCUUGACCCCCUUCCACGUGGCGCGCGCGCUGGUGUCGGAGCCUGGGCCCCUGUUGUCCACCUCGGUGUAGAAGCAGGUGCGCAGCCCGUAGUCCCCGAGCCACGGCAGCCAGCCCACGGGGUUGAUGAGGUCGUCCAGCUGGCACUGGAUGUAGAAGGUCCUGGAAUACUCCUUCCACGGCCGGCCGAGGUACGUCGGGAUCCGGGCCUUGACGGGCUCGAAGCUGGGGUCGGCGGUGACGGUGCAGUUGUGCAGGAUGAUCCCCCCCGCGGAGCGCUUCUCCUUGCGGCCCUGCGCGGUGACGAUGUUCUGCUGGUUGUCGAGCGGGCGGCGGACGAGGAUGAGGCAGUUCUGGAGCACCACCUGCGCGUUGCCGAAGAUGAAGUCGAUCGUGCCCGUGACGGUGCAGUCGCGGUAGAACUGGCGGUAGGCGUGCGUGUAGAGCGUGUCCUGGUAGCCGUCGAACUGGCACUGGUAGAACACCGACAGGUCGCUCUGCACCCGCAGCGCCACCGCCUGGUGGUUCUCCGCGCCCGCCGAGUUCUCGAACCCCAGGUCGCGGGCGAAGAACCCGUUGCCCACCACGGCUGCAGAUCCCAAUCCAAUCCAAUCCAAUCCAAUCCGUCAGAAUUAGUACAAUAAAUUCAGAAAAAAAAUAUAAUAUGCUGCCGACCGGCAUAUUUUAAAAAAUUUAUUGCAGCAGACAUGGAGAGAUAUAUAUAUAUAUAGUUAGGUUGCGCUUACUGAAGGUGGCGGUGUCCUUGGUGGUGAUGUUCUGCCGGAAGUUGCGGUUUCCGGUGACCCGCGUCUUCGUGGGGCCGUCACCGUACAUGACGACGUUCGUCAAGUCCCGGUCGACCGUGACGUACUCGCUGUACACCCCUUCCUUCACGUAGAUCACGAACGCCUCCUCGCUCUUCUUCGGCACCGUCGCGAGCGCCUCCGUGAUCGUCUUGAAGUCGCCGGAGCCGUCCUGCGCCACCGUCACGUUCGGCUUCAGCUGCAGCGGCCCCGCCUGCAGCAGCCGCCUCUUCCCGGCCGAGACCCACUCCGGAACGGCCGCCUCGCCCUCGCCGUCGGCCUCGAGCAGCCGCCGGCUCAUGAAGGGGAUGUUCAUGCUGCCGAUGGUGUUCGAGAACUCGUCGACGAUCGCGAGGAUGUUCGCGGUGAGCUCGGAGGCGCUCUUCAGCGCCUUGCUCAUCGACUGCGCCGCGUCGGUGGUGGUGUUCUCGAAGCCGUCGAGGCAGGUGUCCUGGUAGGUCAGCACGGCCGACAGCCACGUCUUGAGGUCGUCGACGGCCCGCUGGAAGUUGGACAUCUCGAAGCCGCCGAGCUGGUCGAAGGACGUCUUCAGGUCCUCCACCGCGUACUCGAGGAGCUCCCGGCAGUUCUGGAGCGCCCCCGACGUUCUCUUGUCGUGCGCGAGCUCAGCCAGCGUCUCCGAGUGGUUGAACGCCUGCUGCACGCGCUCCGUCGUCACCUUAAAGAUCGCCUGGUGCACGUACACACACGCACGCAUGCAAAAUAUAUAUUGAAAUUAGAGGACGAUGAAAACUUACAAACUGAAUAGCCAACGUAUUCAACAUAUAAUAAUCUAAAUAGAGAGUUAUGCGAAUAUUGCACUCGACGAACCUUGGCGAGCUCGGUGGGGCUCGUCUGCUGGUAGUCGGUCGGCCUACAAAACUCCUUGAUCGCCUUCACCGACGUCGUCAUGUGCGGCUCCGACUUCGCAUUGCUACUGCCGCCGCCGCUGCGGUGCGUGACAACGACGGCGACCGAGGCCACGACGGCCACGAGGAGGACGGCGGAGCCGCCGAUCACGGCGUACUUCUUAUUCCCCAUGGUUAUUAUUAUUACAAUUUAUUGUUUUUGUAAAGUCCCCUACCCAAGCAAGAUAGGGGGGAGUGGGGGGUGGGGGGAAUGUUUUAUUACAGUAAUGGAGUAUUGAGGGGAUGACCACAAAGGGUCUUAUGGUAAUGAAGAGCAUUAGUGGGAAUGGUGGGGUUAAAUAGAGGUGGAGAAGAAGAUCAAAAUAGGAGGUUGGGGAGGGAAUAGUGGCGAGGUAGAGGGACAACCAUAAGAAAAAAUAGAGAGCGUGAGCGCUUCUAGCCUAGUUUUGUCCCUGUUCAAAGGGUUGUGGCUAAUUUUGGUUGAACACACGGUUUUCAUAUAUAAUAAUAAGUGUAGUGAAUUAGGAUGGAAAUCCCCAGUUUUGAGUACAAAAUUUGAUGGUAGAAGAAAUAUACAGAAUUUAUCUAAAUUAUAAAUUAUUUUAAAUCGACUAUCGAAUUUUUCAAAUCUUAAUUUUACUAUUUUAUUUGAGUCACUCAAUAUUAUUUUGGCUUUAGAAUUUAAGAUAAUUAUUUUAAUAAAUUUAUAGUUGUAAGAAUUUUAUGAAGUAUACCAAUAAAGUUUGUAAAGAUCAACUAUGUAUUCAAAACUUACAGCCAAAGUGUCGUUGAUUGAAUUUAAAUCAAAUAAAUUGGAAUGUAGGAUAAUAAAUUAAAAUUUUCAAAGAUUGAAUGGCCAACUAAAAAUGAUUUAUACUUUAGAUAAUGUUCUAUAUUUUUUACCAAAUUUUAAAAUUCUAUACAACCAGCCCAAAAUACUUAAGCUCAGUUAUUAUUAUUAGCAUGUAUGCCUCAUAUAAACCGAUCGAAAUCAGUUCCAGUAUCUCACCCGAUGUGGAACUAUUGGGCGUUACAAACUCCCCCUAUUUAGACCCUGACGUUCUCGUCGGGUCCAAACCAGAACGUCAGGGUUCAAACCAGAUCACAGACAGAUCAGAUGAUGUGAGAUUCUAGAGGUGGCUCCCACCUAACUCGUUGGAGUAGCACUUUGCCCCGCAUAGCACUUAGCUCUCACACUUUCGGUUGGUAUUCGGCUCUGAUACCAAUUGCAACGACCCGACCCGCUAGCAAUAAUAACUCGUUGGGCCCAAACCAUCGGCCCAAAAUGCUUAAGUCCAGUUAUUAUUACUAGCGUGUAGGCCUUAUAUAAAUCGAUCGAAAUCAGUAUCCCACCCGAUGUGGGACUAUUGGGGACAUUACAGUUUGCCAGCAUGCACGACCCGACACGACUUUUCAAUUUUUUUUCUCUUUAAAAUAUUUUAAGUUAUUUUCUCUCAAUUAUAAUUAAAAUUAUCAAAAAUUUAUUAUCUAUUUACUAAAUAACUAAUAAUUACUUUAUAAGAUAAUAUCAAAAAAAUAAAAUAACAUUAAAAAAAAUAAAAUUUAAAAUAAAAAAAACGGCUCGCGGCACGGCCUACUCUAGGCCAAGCCCUGUGCCCACUACUAGGCCAGCAAAAGACGGCUCAGCACGUCAUAGGUCGAAUCAGGGCUGCGUCUACUGGGCCGUCUAUAUGGGUUGUGCUCAUAACGCAAAAAUUUUGAUCUAGAACUUCUGCAUUAAAGGGUUUGUGCAGUUGAAGCUCAUCUAAUACUCUUCAGAUCGUUUGGUUAGAUAUAAUAAUAAAUACAGUGUAACUAGAGAUGUAUGCAGUUAAAAAUACAGCAAUUACAAUUACAUGCAUCAUGUUUGGUUGAAUGUAGUAACAAGCGCUGUAAUUAUAAAUAAUUUGUUUGGUUGUAUGUAGUUGAGAAAUAAUUUUUAAAAUUUUAUCAUUAUAUAUAUAUAAUGAUAUAAUGAUAAAAUAACCAAAAAAUGUAAAAAAAAAAUGUUUUUUGUUUAAAAAAUAUUUAAAAAGGUAAGAUUAUCUUUUAUUUAAAAUUACACUUUUCAAUUGGUGCAGUUGGAACUACGGCCAAUUUGGGCGUAGUUCUAACUGCUACAGUUGGACCUCUUCCUGUAGUUCCUACCGUAGCAGUUAAAGUUAAAUAUAUCAAACCAAAUACUGAAUUUAUAUUUGUAUACAGUUACAACUAUUAUCCAGUUACAAUUAUAUUUAACGAAACGAUCACCCAGUCAAAAAAGACCGGUACAAAAAUAUUUCAACUGUAAAAUAUAUAUCAUAACUGACCCGCCGAAUCUUAAACCAUUUACAGCGUUGGUAUGGGUGGCACUCGCACGAGCCAAUCACAAGCUUAGAACACAGCUGCAGUUGCACCACAGAUCCAUUUUUGGACAAACACUUUUUUUGGACCCACCCCAGCCCACUUGUGAGAACGGCAAGAGGACAAAUCAUAUAAGGUCGAAAAAAAGCAAUUCGAUCGUACGUGGAAAGCAGCGUUAGGCUUGUAUUUAAUAGGGAAAACUUCAAAAAAACCCCAUGUGGUUUCACACUUUUGCAUUUUAGUACCCUGUAGUUUGAAGUGUAUCAAAUUAGUACCCUGUGGUUUCACACUUUAUCACUUUAGUACCUUAUGAUUUAAAAAACUAUAGGGUACUAACUUGAUACAAAAUUAAAACCACAGGGUACUAAAGUGAUAAAGUGCAAAAUCACGGGGUACUAACUUGAUACGCUUUAAACCACAGGGUACUUAAGUGAUAAAGUGAGAAACCACGGGGUACUAACUUGAUACAUUUUAAACCACAGGGUACUAAAGUGAAAAAGUGUGAAACUACAAGGGAGGUUUUUGAAGUUUUUCCUAUUUAAUAACACAAAAUAAAAUAGAAUUCUACAACAUGCACGUCUGAAAACCAUUUUUUCAUUUUUCUUAACUAGUCGCAUCGCCUUUUUUUAUUUUUUAUAAAAUUUUCUUAAAAAUAAAUAAAAUUUUAGCACUCUUUAUAAAGAAUUUUAAGAAUUAUAAUUUUUUUUUUAUUAUAGGUUUAGUAUUUCUCACAAGCCAAAUACUAUAUUUCAGAAUCUCUAAUAUUUAAUUAGGUUUAUGUCAAAAAUUACACCUUCUGUGAAUAAUAAGACGAGGCUGAGCGCACUAGAUAGAUGUAUUGGAGAAGAUGUUAGAGACGAAUGAAAAAAAAAAAGGUUAAAGAUAAAGGUUAAAGACCAAUUCUAUAAUUAAUUCUAAAAAUUAACGAUAAAAAAAAUUGGGGCCAAAAUAAAAAAAAAAAAAAAAAGAAGGUGGAUUUUUCUCAAUCUUUAUUUCACGUGUUACAUCACAUAACNCCAAUAGUGCAUUUAAUCAUUUUAUAAAUGAUUGUACGUUGUUAGUUCGAUUAGGACAUAAUUAGCACGCUAUCAUUGGGAACCAAAAAUAUCCCUACAACCCCCUAAGUCGAAAAUAUCUAAAAUAUUGGAGUCACACAGAUAAUAUAUUAUUUUCCACUAAUCAAAUUAUAUUAUUUUUUUAAUUUAUUUAUUCCAUAUUUUAAUUAUAUUUUUUUAAAAAAUAAAUAUAAUUAACUGGACAUAAACGUUAUAAUUAUAACUUGUUACAUUGUAAAUUUUUUUACUAUAAUAAAUAGAAGAAUUAAAAAUUAUUGGCCCGCAAAAUAUUAAUGAGAAAGAUGACAAAAAUAACUUUGUCAUCUUUACUUUUCACUAAGACUACCCCAUUUACGUAUUAAUCGAAAAUUGAAAGCAUGACACAGCAUAUAGCAUUUUUCGCAUAAACAAAAAAAAGAUUAAUUUUAUACAGAUUUCUUCAAAUAUAGUAAAUUGUAAAUAUAUUUCUAUAAAAUUCAACUAUUAUAUAUUGUUCCUAUAAAAAUCUUAAUAUUUUCAAAUAUGUCCCUACUGUUAAAAUUCAUUAGAAAACUUUAGUUAAUCACAGGUUAGAUGUUUAACUCUAACUAAUUUAUGAGAUAACUUGAUAUUUUUGUCUUUUUUAUAUUAUACUAUUGUGACUUUUGAAGAGAUAUAUUUGUGAUGACAAAAUUGACAUUUUACUUAAAAUAUAAAGAGGAAUAUGUAUUUAAAAAUAUUAGAAUUUUUAAAGGAAUAACAUAUAAAAGUUGAUCUUUGUAGAAAUAUGUUUACAAUUCAUUACAUUUGUAGGAACAUGAAUGCAUUUAACCCGACAAAAAAAUUAUUUUCUUAUUAGUGCACUCUUUUUAUCAGUAAUAAGACAUACUUUGCGCGGUCAAGUAAAAGCUUAAUAUUUUUGCUCCAGCUUUUAUUAGCUCAAUAGUAUUAGGACUGAACAUAAUAGCUAACGAGCUCAUAAUAGUAACACUCACUUGAUCAAGAUUUUUUUUUUUUUCAAAAAAAGGUGCAACUAAAGAAAUAUAUAUUCUUUGUAAAAUUCUUUCUCAUAUUUUCUUUCUCAAAAAUAAAAUUUUACCCAUACACCAUAAAACUAAAAAUCAGCUUUUUAAUUAUAUUUAAAAUUAUUAAUUACUUUGUCUAUCAGACGCUCCGAGCAAUUGCACUCGUAUCAUGAUGAAAGGCUAAAUCGCAUUUUUAGUCCCCAAACAUUAAAGUGCGUGACACUAUAGUAUUCAAAUUUUAGUUUAUUUAUUUCUAGCUCAAACUUUGUAAUCUAUUACAAUAAAAUUUCAUAAUCCAAUUUAAAUAAUUAAAUAACAAUAUAUCACAAAUACAAUAUUAAUAUGAUAAUAUUAUAACCAAUAAUAAUAUAAUAAUUUCUAAAAUAUUAUAUUAUUAUCACAUCAGUAAAAUAUCAUAAUAAAAAAUUGAACUGCAAAAUUUAAUUAUUUAUAUAAUUUAAAAACUUUAGAUCAUAAUAUAUAAGCAUUAUGUAAAGUUAAAGUUUGAGGACCAAAAAGCACAAAUUAGGCUUAAGAAAAGAACCUCAUUGAUGGACCCUACCGCCCCAAGGACAGUAACGGAAACACUAAUUAAUAUAUAAAAUUUAUCUAAACUAUUGACCAUUUUAAUUUUACUAGCAGAUUUUUUUUAAAUUCUAAUUAUAUUUCGAUUCUUCAAUUCGUCGAAUUUGAACCUGAACCGAUCAACACCACUCUCAACUUAAAAAUUUAAAUACAUCAUUUAUUUUCACAAAUUUAAUACAUUUCACAUAAUAAUAAUUUAAUUAAUUUAAGUUCCAAAGUUAAAAAUGCUUUAGCUGACUUAGCCAACUUAAAUCAAAUAAUUUAAAAGACUUUGAUAGUUAAAUUUAAAAUUCUGAAAAAUUAAACCAUAGAAUUAAAAUAGUUCGUACUCCAGAUAAAUUAGAAAAGCUAUUACAAAAAAAAAAAAGGAAAAAAAAAAGACACUAAGCACGAUCCAACGGCUGAGAGAAUAAAAAAAAAAAAGAGAGAGAAAUUAAUGGAUCAAAUUAGAAACACGACCAAUGUUAAUUUUCCGCUUCCCCUCCCCUUCCCACAGAGUUUUUUUUGGGAGCACACGGAGAAGGAGAUCAGCGCCGCGCCUGGGGAUAAGGAGCGACACGUGUCCUGCGGUGGGCAUCGGACGGCCCUCGUCGCGCGUCUCCGUGGGCCCCGCCGUAGCCGUUGCUCGCCCCGUCGCCGCUGAUGAUCUCCUCCAGCAUCUUCUGCAGAUCCUCCAGCGUAUCCGGCGUCUGCCCAUUUUUUUUUUUUUUAACAAAAAGAAAAAAAAAAUUAAAUUUCGAUUAAUUAAUUAAUUAAUUAAUUUCCCGGCCAAAAAGUAAAAGCGUGCUACUUUUCAAUUUUACGGUUUUGCCCCUAGUAGCCUUGCGACUUCGGACAAAUCAUUGUGUCUACUUGUCCCAUCACCAGAGGAAGCGCUUUAAAUUUUCCAAAAAUAUUAUAUUUUACUAAAUUAUUUACAGUUAUACAAAAACUAAUUUAAAUCUAAAAAAUUAAUAAUAUGUAUUGUAAAAAUUUUAUUAGCAAUAGCAUACAAACUCAGCUUCGUAAAGAAAAUAUUUUGAACACUUAAAAAAGCAUAAUGUGGUACAGCAAAGAGUAGAAUUAUCUCCUUUCGUACAACAAUCACUAUAAAAUAUUAGAAAACUUUGGCUACAGUUAUUACAGCUAUUUUAGAAUAUCAAACAAAAGUUAAAAAAAAAAACAUUUGCUUGCUCACAAUAAUUCUAUUUUGAUUGGUUCGUGCCUUCGCUUUAAUCAUGAAAUAUUGCAUUGUACACCCUUAAAUAAAUUAUAAAUUUUAUAUCUUGCUUAUUUAAAAGCUAAUUAUUUUUUAUAAUACCCAAAACUCCAAAAAAUAAUAACAAUAAUAACUCUUCCUACAGGAUGUCUGUAGACGCAGCAUAUUUCACACUACAGCAUUUUUCACUUUAAAAAAUAUGGAAAAACUUCAAAAAAAAACCUCCUGUAGUUUCGUAAUUUCUCACUUUGCCCCCUAUAGUUUAAAAUGUAUCAAUUUGCCUCCCUGUGGUUUCGUUUUUAUCUUUUCGAUUGUUUUUUCGUUAAUAUUUCGUUAAAUUAUAUAUAAAAAACUUCAUAUACCCAUCUAGAUUUAUCAAACAUUCACUUUAGUACCCUUUAAUUUUAAUUUUAUUACUGAUUUAAAAAAAAUAAUAAUAAAAUUGAUAAGAAAAAGAGAAAAACAAAACCACAGGGAGGGCAAAUUGACACAUUUUAAACGACAGAGGGGCAAAGUGAGAAACUACGAAACCACAGGGGGGUUUUUUAAGUUUUCCCAAAAAAUAUUAUUAUAUAUUGUAUAAAAUUGACACUUUUCAUCCUAAAAUUUACAAAGAAUUUUUAAAAAAUUAGUUUAAAAAAUUUUAGAAAAGGGCUUAGACUAGAUAAAAUUUUUGAAUAAAUGAAGUGCAAGAUGUCCACCUAGUCUAGAGAUAUUACAGAUCUCAUUGCUCUUUCACUCUAAUGAGUCAUAUAAAUUUUACAUUCUAUUCGUCUAAAAAUUAAAAUUUUUUUAAUAAUUUUAUCAAUUAUUUUAUAAUACUAAAAAUUUAAAAAAUUUAAAUUUUUUAAAGUUCUGAUAAGAUUCAUAUCCUAACUUGGCGACGGAAAGUAAAAAUCAGGUUGAAGUAGAUUUCUGAGUGAAAUAAACACAAAAAUAUAUAUAAAUUAUUUCCUAAAAAUAAACAAGGAAUACAAGAUAAACCCCCUACACCCGGUGCACGCAAGUUUUUCCAAUGGUAAGUCUCGGAGAGAAAAUCGGAUCGGGUGGCAUACCUCAUUUUUCACGCUAUCCAUCAUCACCAACAUCUCUUGCAUGAAGUCCGUGAAAUCCUGACCGUCCAAAACAACAUUACAUGACCAAAUAAAAAAAAUAAAAAAAAAACACAAUAAAAAUCUCCCCCCCCCCCCCCCCACACCAACUUAUUACAAAACAAAACCAAAAAAUACUAAUAUUCCCGAAAAUGCAACCAAAAAAAAAAGGAAAAAGAAAAAGAAAAAGAAAAAGAAAAAGAAAUUAAUUGUGAGAGAAAUUAACGAAUAUCGCGCCUGACGCUGGUCGUCGCCAUCCAAGGGGUCGAAGAUCCCCGCGUCGUACAUCGCCGCGUUCCCCUUUGUCGGAAGAACUACCACACACACCGCACACCAUGUAUAAUAACCCGUUAGCCGCCGUUACCAAGAAAACGGCAACUCGUAUCGGCGUCGGAAGUGCACUCACCGGAAUACGCCUCCUGAUCCGCUGGAACCCGCCGCUUCGCCUCCGCCGCCCGCGUCGGAUCUUCGCCCACCGAUCCGGUGCCACUUCUACGCUCCCCCCGCACAAAAAACACACAACCCCGGAAAAAUCACCAAAAAUCCCCAAAAAUUAUACCUCAAAAAUCCGAGAACGGGGGAGAGAGUGAGAGAGGGGGGGGGGGGGGGGGGGGGGGGGGAGUACCAGGGCGAGCUUGCGGUACGCGGAGCGGAUGUCGGCGCCGGAGGCGUUCUUGCGGAUCCCGAGGAGGGAGUAGUAGCAGGAUCCGUUGGAUCCGCCCCCGUCGCCGUCCAUCGCCGCGGGAUCGAACGGUGGGGAUCGCCGCAGGAGCCUCGAUCGCGAUCCCGAUGAGGACGCAGAGGAGGAGGAGGGAACUGCCACUGGUUUUGGGCUUAUUUACGAAAAGGGGAUUCCGCUACGCACGUGGUCUGGUUCAGGAGGUGGUGUCGUGUCGGGAAACGGCAGUUGAGGUCGACUCGAUCCGAGACUUUUGACCUAAUUAUUUAAAAAUAAAUUACCACGUGUAUAUAUAUAUAUAUAUAUAUAUAAAAUAUUUUUUUUCUAAAAUUUAAUAAAAUUUAAUUAGAAAAUAAUUAAUAAGACUAAAGAAAAAAAGACUUUUUGAAAAAAUUAUUAAAAAUACUAUUUCGUAAGAGCUUAAUUUUUUUGUGUAGUGCUAGAAUGAAUUAUAUAAUUAUAUUAUUAGUUUUUGUUAGCAGAAGACGUCCUACGUUAUAUUUGGUUCAGAUGCCAGACAAAAAUGUAAACUGACAGGUGGAGAAAUAUCUAAUAUUAUAUAUAUAUAAUACGUAGACCGAAGUUCUAAUUCAAUCCAAAAGCUGAAACGGAUAUGUAGAGAAAAACACUGACUUCUAAGUUGUAUCUAAUACGAAACUAAUAUUCUUUAACAAUAGAAAUGUGGGUUAAGAAUAAUAACUAGGCAUGCUAAUCAAAUUUUAUUUGGAACUAAACGCGUGAAGUUUCAAAAUUUCGAGUCACAUACUGCUGUUUGAGGACUAAAAUAAAACUCAUAGCCAAACAACGCGAGCAGUAGAUUACGAGGCCCGACCCGCUCGCAUCAAAUAAAUUGGUCUCGAGCCUAAUUCUAAAACUCUUGGCCUAAGCCGGUAAAAUUUGAAUAGCUGUCGGGCUCGGUUGGACUGAGCCUUUCUCAGUUGAAGUAAGCCCAACCUCCAUAACAAGUUGGAAUAAAGUGGUUAUAUUUGUCGCGUGUUUAGCCCGGCAUCUGGUUCUACUUACAACAUCAGCUUUUUGUCUUUGUGAAUAACAAAAAUAACUCUGUUACCAGCAAUUCUCCUUUCUGUUCAAAUAAUUUGAAGAAUCACAGUGCUUCUAGGAAACUAGUCCAAACAAUAAUAAAGCAGAGUAUCGUCGAGCUCGCUCGCUAUCAAAACUAUGAUAUGUUUAUUUUAUCGAAACCAUCCACUGAGGACUCUCACCAGUUACUGGAAAUCAGCAUCGCUCGCCUAGCAAUGAGAACGGUUGCACGGGGGGUCGACUGUGGGCACGAUAACUGGUACACCAGAGAUCUGUCCUUCUCAGUCCUCUUGUAUUAGGGAAAGGUCCUCUCAAUGCUCUACCGCCCGCACCGGAUAUGGGCCGAACUGUCUCACGACGUUCUAAACACAGCUCACGUACCACCUUAAUGGGCGAACAAAAUGGACAGUUCAAGCGAUUAUUCCGUGUUUGAUGUGCACAUUUCCGCCUUGAUGUCAAAAAUGGGCCUAACUAAAAAUGGGCUUCAGCUAUGUAUUCUUGUUUUUAUUUUUCUAUUAGUUGAUUAGGAUUAGGCCUAAUUGAGUUCAAUUUGGGCCUUCGUAUGUCACAUAUUGGAUUUGGUGGUGCCUAAAUAACACACUAUUGAUCAAAAUAUAAGUAUAAUUAUGCGCCAGUGCAACCAACCGUCCCUAGAGCAAGUGGCAAAAGGCUUAGUGGUUGAUACUCGAGACUCAAGUUUGAAUCCAAGUUGAUUCACAUUUCUAGCUAAGUUUAUUUCUAAAUGAAAUAAACGAAACGGGUAGCGUGCUAUCUCUCAAAAAAAAUUAUGCUCAAGUGCAACUGCGCUAACUAGAGAUUAAUCUAUUUAGGUAUCCAAAUUAGUAUGUUUAUCUUUGUUGAAUGUAAAAUAUAAAAAAUAUUGUUCUCAAAAAGCUUUCAAUUUUAGAUAAUCAAAGAUUUCAUACUAUUUUAAAGACGAAUUUCAAAUCAUUAUUUUUUAUUAUAAAAAUAUUAUUAAUACGUAACGAACUGGACGACUAACACUAAUAAGUCUAACAUUAAUAACUCGUUAGACUCCAAACCACCAAUCUAAAAUAUUUAAAUACAAUUAUUAUUGUUAAAUUCUUUGCUUCUAAUAUAACCCUUUAUACCGGAUAUAUGAAAUUUUUGGGGCUUUAUAUUCUCUCCAUGCAAGUGUUAUUAUUAUUUUUCUUCACUCAAGAGUGUAAAUUUGAGGCCUCAUUUCAUAUUUCAUAUAUUCGUCAAGCAUCGAAUAAAUCCGUUCUGUUUAGAUUCGAAUUUGGAUAAAAUUUUUAAUAUCUGUACCCAUUGACAUCCUAAUUUCACUGUCCUUGCGGCAACUUCCAAAGUUUAGGAAAUAUACGCUACAAGUGAUUGUUUGUUACUACAUAAUUAAACUCUUUAGUUGACAUUAUUACUGAUUGGAUUCAAAUGCAACUCAUAAAAUAGCUAAACCAACAUUAUUUUUUUAGAAAAGUAAACUUACAAUCAAGUUACUUAGAAAUAUUUGUCUAAGGUAUGGCACAAUGUAUGAAUUAAAAUCCUUUGUAGUCUAAGUUGAGCAACCAUUAGUUUUUUUAUUUUUUGAACUAAAAUGCAGAAGCGUGAGUUGUCGCAUUGACUAUGCGAUUGAAUCUCACAGUUUUUUCACAUUUGAGUCCGAUUUUGACGACAUAACCCGCAAAAUGCACGAUGUCAAGUUCCUGUAACUCACAAGAACAAUAGGGUUACGUUUUGAACAAAACAAGCAUGCACAAAUCCUCCAAAGACAAAAAAAAAAAGAAGAGAUUAUUAUUUAUAUUAGAAGAGUUGCACCCAUUAUUCUUGUUAAUAUUUAGCUGGCGUGAACUCGUAUCGCACGUAUUCAAUAAACAAGCACUGCUACUUAUACACUUUCAAAAAAAGUACACACCUUAUGUCCCUUAUUCAAGAGAAAAUAUAAUCUUUAUACUGUUAUUUUUAAACAAAUAUAUAAUUUUGAAAACUUUGGAAUGAAACAGUGUAAUAUGUACACCCUCAUAUGAAGUGCGCGGAUAGUUUUUUUAAAAAAAGAAAAAAAAAUCCUCCGUAUUUUUUUUACCAUGUCCUUUUCUUUUGAUUCUGUCAAUCUGUAUUUUUUUUUUAUUUAGUCAAUUUUUUUUUUCACAAAUAGUCCUAAUAAAUAUAUAUUUAUAUAAGGCUAAAUUAUAGAAAACUCUCCUGUAAUAAUCCAUUUUUUUACUUUCCCUCCAUGAUAUUUAAAAAACUACAUUUUGCCCUCUUGUAAAAUAAAAAAUAUGCACUUCAUCCCCUACCAUUAGGGUUCCGUUAUAAAAUAUUUUUUUAUUCCGAAAAUACUCAUCCGCCCUCUUCCUUGUUGCUUCGCCUCCUUCCAGCUCGCCGCCUCACCGCCUCGCCGUCCUCCACUGCCUCGCCCUCGCCCACAUCCCCUUCGCCCUCCUCCGCCGCCUCGCUUUCGCCCUCGUUGCCUUUGCCUACCUCUCCAUCAACACCCAUCUCGAUUUCCUCCCUACUAUCAUCGAAAUCGAGAGGUGGUGAGGGUGCAGGAGGAGAAGCGGAGCAGGUGGAGAAGGAAAUGGAGAGAUAUCGCGGCCGAUUGAGGUGGGAAUCGCGGCCGAUCGAAGGGGCGGCUGAGGAAGAUAAGGAAGAAGACGAAAAUGGUGAUGGGCAAAAUGGUCAUUUUACACACCGUAACCUCUCUGUGAACAUUUUUCAUUUUAUAAGGGGACAAAAUGUAGGUUUUUAAAUGUCAUUGAGAGAAAGUAAAAAAACGGGUUAUUACAGGGAGGUUUUCUGUAAUUUAGUUUUUAUAUAAAUAGCUCUUUUCUUGUCACGCAAGAGUUGAAGUGGUAUUUUUAAGUCGAACACGGCGAUUCAAUCACCCUGUUUAAAUAAGAUAUUUUCUUUUAUAUUUUUUUUUGUCCCUAAGUAAAAAAAAAAAAGAGGAUUUGGAGUGUGUAUAUGAAUACGAUGAUUCAAUCACCGCACUCAACUUAAAAAUACAAACGUGACGCUCACGUGGCAAGUAGAGGUCAAAUGUUCAAAUAUAAAUUUGUUAAGGUAAUUUGUAAAAUUUUUAUUUUGGGAGGGGCCUAAAUCCCAAUCAAUUUUGCUCAUCGACACGUGUCCCACACAAUACACGAGAUGUACCAAAUUGGUCCGAUCUGGACAUGCAGCGGAUCCCGGGGGUUCCGGCGGAGAGACUUUUCCCGCCAAAAGCCACCCCUCCUCCCGAAGCGGGCGACAGGCUGGCGACGGCACACGGCAUCUGCUGGCGACUUCACGACUCUCGAGACAAAUCAGAGUGAGGCUGCGAGCACAGAAGGAAAGCUGGCUUGGGUACUUCAAAGUUCAAAAUGGUGUCCUUAUUAACCCUAUAUAAAAAGUCUGUCAGGGAUUGCACGCCUGUAACUAAUUUUAAUUUGAAGAAAAAAAAAAAUUUGUGUGUUUAUUUCAGUCUAUUAAGUUGGAAAAAUAAAAUAAAAUAUUAAUAAUUAAAAAAAUUUAACUUUUGAAUUAUUUACUUUUCGCUAAAUAAAUAAUAAAUGCCAAAAAAAUAGUUCAACAGGUGUAAACAUAAGGGUUAAAUGUAUUCAUGUUCUCGUAAAUAUAGUAAAUUAUAAAUAUAUUCUUAUAAAAUUUAACUUUCAUAUAUUAUUUUUCUCUGAUUUGUUAUCGUUAUAAAACUAUUUAUAUUUUAAGUAAAAUGUCAAUUUUGUCAUCACAAAUAUAUUCCUCAAAAAACUACAAUAGUGUAAUAUAAAAAGAACAAAAAUGUUAAAUUAUCUCAUAAAUUAACGAGAGUUAAAAAUUUAACUUAUGGUUAAUUAAAAUUUUUUAAUAAAUUCUAAUGGUGGGGAUAUAUUUGAAGAUAUUGGGAUUUUUAUAGGACCAACAUAUGAAGGUUCAAUUUUGUAGAGAUAUAUUUGUAGUUCACUAUAUUUAUAGGGACUUAUAAGAAAUUAAUUCUAAAAAUAAAUUAUAUUAUUUUACUGCAAAUACAGAGACAAAGAUUUUUUUUUUUCAAUAAGUGCCUAUUUUCUGUUGUUUUGUUUACAACGAACUAUAUUUAAUUGAACUCAAUUUUUUUUAAAAAAAAAAUUGUAAUUGGCUUCACUCUGGCUAAUGACAAUUGCAUGCAAGUGUAGAACUUUUUUUGAUGAAGUAACAAAGAAAAGUAAAUAAACUUUAAUUUUAAAGUCUCACUGCUAUUUAAUUGAACUCAAUUUUUUUUAAAAAAAAAAUUGUAAUUGGCUUCACUCUGGCUAAUGACAAUUGCAUGCAAGUGUAGAACUUUUUUUGAUGAAGUAACAAAGAAAAGUAAAUAAACUUUAAUUUUAAAGUCCUUAUCUUUUUUUAUCAAAUAAAUAGCAGUGAGAAUAUUAUUACUAUUUAAAUUUUAGCUUAACUAUGACUGUUUGUUCAACCAAAUGUGAAGCUCGUGUUGAAAUAGGCAUUUGAGUGAACUUAAUAUAAAAAUAAUUACUAUAAUCUUAAAGGCUUAAGCUAUAAUAAAAUAAUAUUUUAAUAUUUCAUAUUCAAUAUAUCUCCUAAUUAUAGAUUCAAAAUUUUUCAAUAGACUUAAGAACACGUAAAACACACAUUAACCAGCAAGUAAAAAAAGAUUAUUGACAUUACAUAUUGAUUGAUUAAAAUUUCUAUUAGAUGCAAUUCUAAAUAGAGUGUUUGCAUUUAUUAAUAUGAGUCUAAACGUUAUAAUUAAAAUUAGGAGUAAUUGCUUAUAUAUUCUGAAAAGUUCUUGAUUUUUUGAUUUAUCUCAUUUUAGAAGGCUAAUAAAAUUUCAUGACACCAACUUGAUACUCUUUAAAAUAUAUGGUACUAGAGUGAGAAAGUACGAAAUUACUAGGAUGAUAUUUGAAUUUAUUCAAAAAAAAAAAGGCCAUCUUUCACACCAUCAAAGAGACGCAAUGGACCAGUCAAAGUUGUAGCCACAUUAAUAAAAACAAUAUUGUUAUAAUGAUUGUAAUUUUAACUGUAUAUAUCUUAAUUUUAUCAAUUAUUUGUUUAGGGCUUGUUCGUUUCAAUGUAAAAAAGCUACGAAAAACAAAAAAUUUGGGGCCGAAAAUAUUUUUUCCAGUGUUUAAUUUGGUGUAAAAUAGUUUUGGGCCAAACAUUAUUUUACGAUUUCUUAAAAAAAAGGGCUUUUUGUUUUCCGCCUCAAAUCUGCAGAAAACGAAAACUGAGACGGAAAAAUUGCAGCUCACACGUGUUAAGAGCAUCACGGUCCACGAGCUCUCACAUAAGGUCAUGGACCAUGUGAGUGGUCCACAUUGGACCAUUUACCUACACCCUCUCUCUCAUAUAUAUAUAUAUAUAUAUAUAUAUAUAUAUAUAUAUAUAUAGAGUAGGGCUAGAAUACUUUUACAAGUAUCACCCAAGUAAUACUUGUGUGUUUUUAGCCCUUGGAUGGAGAGAUGUGAGGUUGAGAUGAUAGUGGUAGGUGGUGGUAGGUGGAAUAGUGUUUGAUCCAAGAGCUAUUUGUAAUUAAAAAGUAGAUCCAAUGGUUAAAAACGUGAUAGCAACAUGGGGAUGAUACUUGUAAAAGUAUCCUAGAUCAACUCUAUAUAUAUAUAUAUAUAUAUAUAUAUAUAGUUGAGCUAGAAUACUAUCGAUAGUAAACGAGCCGUUUUACUACCGAUUUGUUUUCGAUGAUAGAGCUUCCAAAUUGACGAUCGGCUUCGUUAAAUAUGAUCUAAACUAUUUAAACUAUCUAGAAAUCAAAUUUCACGUACUUUCGAUAUUGUUCUUUUAUUCAUCAAGUGAACAGAAAAAUAAACGGCUAAAAAUGAAUAUUCUUUAAAAAAUAAUGAUAGGAGUCUUGUAAUCAAGAUCAAGAGUAUAAAUCUUGUUUUAAAUAGUUUAAAGAAUUUUCUAACAAAAAUUCAAUUGAUUUAGAUAUCUUUACGCCGUUAAACGAGAAAACGUCUCUUAUCGACCAUUAAAAUUACAAAUUUUAAAACCCAUUGAUCAUUAGGCAAAUGAAAUUUAAUUUCUAAAUACUUCAAGUGGUAUAGGUCAUGUUCAACGGAGCCGAUCGUCAAUUUUGAAGCUCUAUCAUCGAAAACAAAUAGGUAGUAAAACGGCUCGUUUACUACUGAUAGUAUUCUAGCUCAACUCUCUCUAUAUAUAUAUAGAGAGAGAGAGAGAGAGAGAGAGAGAGAGAGAGAGAGAGAGAGAGAGAGAGUGAGAGUUGUGCUGGUAUGCUUAUGGAAACACGGAGGCCUCCGUGCUUUCAAGUCGUUUUCGAUGUUCGGAUUUUUGAAUCGACGAUCGGCUCCGUUAGAGUUGAUCUAGAGUAUUUAAAGUACCUAGAAAAUAAAUUUUGCGAUUUUUCGAUAUCAUUUACCUAGUGAUCGAAGGAGCUCAAAAUUAAUAAUUUUAACGGCCAUGGUGAGCCGGUUGCAAGUUUAACGGUGUAGAAAUAUCCAAAUUAUAUGAAAUUUUGAUAGAAAAAUUUUUAUACCAUAUAAAACAAGAUCAAUAACUUUGAUCUAAAAUUUUGAUGUCAUAUCAUCAUAUUUUGUAAGAUUUUUAUUUUCGGCAGUUGAUUUUGAGUCACUUCAAUCAAUAGGCAAAUGAUAUCGAAAAAUCACAAAAUUUAUUUUCUAGAUACUUCAAAUACUCUAGAUCAAGUCUAACGGAGCGGAUCGUCGAUUCGAAAGUCCGAACAUCAAAAACAAAAUGGAAGCACGGAGCCCUCCGUGCUUUCAUAAGCAUCCUAGCCGCACUCUGUGUGUGUGUGUAUAAGAGGGUGAAAAUUUAUUAUACAUCUUUUAUAUUUUUAUUAAUUUAAAUUAUAUAUUUUUAUAUAGUAUUAUAUGCAAACUAUUUAUCAUAUUAUAUUAAAUAUUUAUCAAUUUGUCAUAUUAUAUGAUUGUGAUAUAUUUAAUUCAUAAAUAUAAAUUAUAAUAAUAUAUAUAUAGCCUAAUAAUUAUUAUAAAUUAUAAAUAAAUAAUAUAUAGAAUACAUAAUAAAAAAAGUUUUACUUUUUCCUUUCAAUCACUAAACCAAACAAUUGUAACUAAAAAUUAAUUUUCUUUUCCUACAAAUCAAACACUAAAAAUCGUAAAAUAAAUUUUUCACAAAAAAUCUUUUUCUAUCGAAAUUUUGUUUUUUCUAAUUUUAUGUAGAACCAAAUAGCCCUUUAGCAUAAUCAGGAGACAAGUAUGAAUCAAAUUUAAAACUUUUUCUUUAAUAUAUUUCAAAAAAUAAUCAAUUUUUUUAAAACAAGUAAAAUUACUCAAAAUAAUAUUUUAAUAUUUUAUAUUUAUUAAUAUAUAUAAUAGUAAUAAUAAUUUUAGAUUGCAUGAAUGGAGGAAUUAAAAACCUUAAUAUGCAUUUUGUAUCUUAAAGCAUUCAGUGUGUCGGCGACGCCGCAGCCGCACAUCUUCCCCCAGUCGGGGCCUCCGAUGCGCUCCACGUGGCGAGCUCUGGGCGUCCGGCCUCAGCGUGCGAGCCUAUGCUGUGGCGCCCAACGUGGCUCCCACUCGCGACACGUCGACGACGCCGGCCUCGCCUCCCAGGGGCAAAUCCGUCAUUUCGCGCUACAGCUCUAACUAAUUUUUGAAAAGAAACGGAUGCGCAUUUGACAUAAUCCGCAAACAAAAAAAUUUAAAAAAUGUUACAAAAAUAUUACAUAAAAUUGUUUCUUUUUUUUAGUUAUUAUUAAUAUUGUUAUUAUUAUUUCUAAAAGAGGAUAAUUCGCUUGUAUAUUCGAUAACUUGAGGGGAGGCUAGGAGGGCCAGCUGGGCAUUUGCUCGUGGCCCUUCAUCUCCCAUUUUUUUUUUUUUUUUUAAAGAAAAAACCAUUUAUGAAGUUUCUUUGUUAUGAUUAAUGUUUUAAACAAGUAAUUACUGUAGAUAAUUAAGAUUAAUGUUGGGUCGAUGCUGUUCAGAAGAGCGUAAAUAUUUGGGAAAUAAAAAGCAUUUGGAUCCGAAGAAGUUAUUAGUAGACGUUUCCGUUGCUACCGCUUCCGCUUCUCUCUUCCUCGCCGCUUCUCUUCAACGAGAGAGAGAGAGAGAGAGAGAGAGAGAGAGAGAGAGUUGUUAAUAGUAAAGAGGAGGAGGAGGAGAGGAGGAGGGUUGGGUGAGGUUACCGCGUGGAUUCGUCGCCUCCUCUCUCUCUCUCUCUCUUUCUCCUAUGGAUUCGCGCUGGGCUGGCGCUUGACUCAGCUUUUCCUUAUGGGCGAUUGCGUCGCGUCAAAGGGAUCCCAUCUCUGAAACCCUAGCCCUCGCUCUUCGGAGAUCCCCCCGAUUCCCCCUCCCUCUGCAUUAGGGCGGUGGUGAGGGGGGGGGGGAAGCGCCCCGACGCGCCCCGGAGUUCCGCAAUGCGGCGGAGUGCGGCGGAGGAUCGGGCGGGGACGGCGGGGGGGUGUGCGACGAGUCGCUGGUGCACAUAGCGAUAACGCUGGACGAGGAGUACCUCCGCGGGUCGGUGGCGGCGGUGCACUCCGUGCUCCGGUACGCGCGGUGCCCCGAGGACGUGUUCUUCCACUUCCUGGUGGCCUCCGACCCGGCGCGGCUCGAGGCCCUGGUCCGCUCCGCGUUCCCGCGGCUCCGCUGCAAGCUCUACUUCUUCGACCCGGAGCGCGUGCGGUCCCUGAUCUCGAGCUCGGUGCGGCAGGCCCUGGAGCAGCCCCUGAACUACGCCCGCAACUACCUCCCCGACCUCCUCGAGCCCUGCGUGCGCCGCGUCGUCUACCUCGACUCCGACCUCGUCCUCGUCGACGACGUCGCCAAGCUCUGGCGCACCGACCUCGCCGGCCGUGCCGUGGGCGCCCCCGAGUACUGCCGCGCCAACUUCACCAAGUACUUCACCCCGCGCUUCUGGUCCGACCCCUCCCUCGCCUCCACCUUCUCCUCCUCCCCCCACCCCCACCGCAGGGGCCCCUCCUGCUACUUCAACACGGGGGUGAUGGUGCUCGACCUCGACCGGUGGCGGCGGCGCGGCUACACCCGCCGCAUCGAGCGGUGGAUGGAGGUGCAGAAGCGGCGGCGCAUCUACGAGCUGGGGUCGCUGCCGCCCUUCCUGCUGGUGUUCGCGGGGCGCGUCGCCCCCAUCGACCACCGCUGGAACCAGCACGGCCUCGGCGGCGACAACGUCCUCGGCAGCUGCCGCGACCUCCAUGCCGGCCCCGUCAGCCUCCUCCACUGGAGCGGCAGCGGCAAGCCCUGGGCCCGCAUCGACGCCCUCCGCCCCUGCCCCCUCGACUCCCUCUGGUCCCCCUUCGAUCUCUACCUCCACUCCGCCCCUUCCCCCUCCCCCCUCCUCCUCCUCCUCCUCACCGCCUAUUCCCGGUAACCCCUCCUUCCUUUCUUUUUCAUUUUGUUUUUUAUUUCUUGAAAAAUUAUUUUGUUGGGUCUUUUUUUCUUUUUCUUUUUAUUUUCAUCUCUCUCUCUCUCGUAAUUUUCCAUAAUAUUCCUGGUGCUUCGAUUUGUUCUGUUUUGUUCUGUUCUGUUCUGUUCUGCUCUGUUUUAGACGCUCUUCUCUGUUUUGGUGGUGGUGGUGCUGCUGUGCCUUGUUUUAGUUCUUAAAAAUUCUUAUGGGGCGAUUUGUAUCUUAUUCUAAUUGUUGUUGCCUCCGCAAAUAAAAAAGAAAAAGGGGAACGGAUAUAAAUAUAUUCACAUUUGUUCACAUAUUCGUAUGUCCAGUUGUGGAUUUUAUAGAUUAAUCAUUAGAUAAUAAUAGAUUUCUGUGACGUUCUCGGAACGGGCACGCGGCGGUUUCCAUCCCGCUCGGAUUUUUUUUGUUUGUUCUUCAUUGUUUCUUGUAUUGCAAUCUUCAUAGCAUCCCAAUCUGUAUAGGCAUAUAGAGAGAGAUAGAUAGCACUAAAGCCCCAGCACGAUUCUUAAAGCAGCCACCACUUCAAAAGGGUGGAGGAGGAGAGGGGCCUCCUCCUUUUUGGUGGGUCUAAUCGAUGUAUUUGAGAGAUAAGGUUAAAUAUUUACAAGAUUAUAACUUUUUUUUUUCCCAUCAAUGUAGUUAAAUCUUAUAUCUUUAUCAAGCAUGGUGUGUCUUGGUGUAGGAUAACUAUGUGGAUGGGAGGGGGUUGGUGAUGGUGGGGAUGUGUGUGUAGGUGUUAGAGGUGCGGUGGCUUCGGUGGCAGCAAAUAACACACACUGGACUUGUGAGCUACUGCCCAAAAUUGUCUCCCUUUUAGCUCUUUCAUGUUGUGCCUCCUUUCUUUGGACCACCUCUCCCCUUCUAUUCUUUUCUUCUGUUUGAGCACAAAUGCGUCGUCUUUUAGCUCCUUAAGUUAUUACAGUAGUCGGUUAUUUCACAUAAUAUCAGAUAGCAUAUGUGGCCAUUUUUUAGCUUUAUUUAGUUUUCUAUCUUUUAGUUUAAGUUCAUAUCCUGGGCCUAUUAAGUAUUAAAAAAGUGUCAAGACCAGAUUGGAAGGAAAAACGGAGUAUAUUUUCAGAGCAAUCCUUUACUUCGUAAAGGUGUCACAUUAAUUUUAUUUAUUAUUAUACUUUAAUCACUUUCAGCAUUACCUUUUACAUCAUAUCUAUCUAUCCCUUUCCGGCAAUUUACCUUUUCUAAUUUUAAAUCAAUUUACGAGUGUUACUUUUCUUAACAUUGUUAGUCUAAAGAGCUCUUAAGAAUCCGAGCAAAUGGCAAUAAGCUACGCGCUCCGCAUGUGUCCAUUUCCGCCUUGAUUUGGCUUUUCUCGGGUAGAUGGUAGCACGAUGAUGACGGCACAUCCGAAUAGGGCUUUAAGUUUAAGUUAGCAGUUUACACGCAGCUUUCUAUUACACCAUCACAAGCAUAUUAUGACAAAGAGGGUGGUGGUUGGGUCCUUUUUAUAUGUAUAGUUUCAUUAGGUCUAGGUGCCUUAAACCGUAGUCUUAAACUCACCAAAUUCCGGAGCUUUACUAGGUCAAAUCUUUUAAUUUUCUUUGGUUUUGAGUACAGAAGCUGGGUAGGAUUUAUGAUAAGCCCGAGUGUUUGUAUUGAAUGCUUCAAGUGUUGUUGGGGGGGUGUUUGGUAAGUUUCUUUAUGAACUGUAGCCCUGUGAUAAUUUCUUGGAUCUCUCUGGAACUUACAAUGUACUCUGUAAGUGUCAUAACCUUUGAUUUUUUUUUUUUUGGUUUCUGUGGGUAGUGAAGUGUCGUAUGGUUAAAGCUUUUUCUUGUGCUGUGGUCCUCAUAGAUGAGGGCCCCAUAAGCUGAUGUGGGCAUUUUCGUGGUCUUUUUCCGGAACUAUCAUUUUCCCCCCAUCCACCUCAUUAUCUAGAAGCUUUAUUAGAAGCUAAUUUGGAGUAGCCCAUAAACUUAGAGCCUCUUUGGGUAGAGCUAUUAGAAAAAGCCCGCAAAUACCAGCUUCUUGCUGAAGCAGAAACAGAAGUUCUGAAUAGGAGGUUCCAGCUUUUGUUCUCCAAGCAUUAAGCUUUUCGUUAGAGACAAGCUUCUAACUUCAUUAUUUUCAUAAGUACUCGAUGGUUGCUUUUAGCAUUAGAAGUGCUUCGCAUCGCAAGCUAGGGCAAAAUGUCAUUUUAAGAACCAUCAGAGGAUAGUGAUGUGGCGGAAAAGCCGUGUGACGAUAUAAUGUUGAAAUGAAGAGAUUGAUUGCGUCGAAGUUUUGUUCUUGCGGUAGCAAUCGAACAGUAAUAUUGAAGCGGCGAGUUUUCAAAAAAUUGGCGGUGGUUUAAGGGCUGUGUCUUUUCCGUCGGAAAAAGACAUUUCCCCGUUAAUGAGUUGUUGUAGCUCACCAUAUAGAUUUAGUUGGUCCUGGUUCUUGUUUGUACUAUAGCAGCAAAUGAGUAUAUAGCCGUUAUAGAUAGCACCGAGCGCAAAACUUUUGUUGAUAAUCCCAAUAUUAUCGAGGGACACCUAUGGUGACCGUUGCAAAGUGUUUUGAAUAAUGUCCUUUUCCUUAGAUAAAUUGUAGUGUUGGUUCUAUACUUUUCGUCAAGUUUUACUUUAGUCCUCAUAAAUAAAUAGACACUCGCAGCCCCCGCAAAACGCGGGGAACGCACCGUACAAACUCUCGAUUCAAGAGUUAUAUAGAUUUGGCAGUGUUUUUUGUUUUUUUUUUUGUAAUACUUGCCUUGCGGCUGUUCGUUGGACUCUUCAUCCAUGUCUUAUUUUUAAUUUAACUAUUUGAUUUUUAACUAAAAGUGAAACACUUUAAAUUUCUGAGAGCUCACUGUGGAACUUAAGAAGCUCAAGAACUAAAACAAAAAUGGGCUAAGAACUGGAGACUAGUGGUGCUAUAUAUUUAGUUAGCUAAUUUAUAUUUUUUUUUAGUCAACACUUUUGGUUGUGAAUGGACAUGGUAGUCACAUCGGUGUGCGAAAGAGCAACUUUGACAUAUCAUGUGUAAUAAAAUUGGCAAAAAUUUAUAGAACUACGAAAAUAUGGAUCAUUUUGAUUUAAUUACUCAAUCUUUCAAAUUUUAAAUUUUACUAUCUAAUUUUGCCGUUUGUUUGAUUUAAAUCAGUCAAAGACAUUUCGAUUUUAAAUUUUAUGCUAAUUAAUUACUUUAUAUAAUCCUAUCAAUUAUAAAUUUAUUGAAGUAAUAAAUUUAAAUUGAAGUAAUAAGGUUAAACAACAGACGUCCCUGUGGGGGAAUCUUCGCCCUAUGGAGAAACACUGAUUUUUUUUUUUUUAUCUAGUUUUUUUUUUUUUUUUUUUUCCGUCUUUGUCCGGCUUUUCAUCUCUUUAGAGGUAUUGUUGCCUCACCCAUGUAGCUAAGUUCAUAUCUUGAAUGAAUGAAACGGGUAGCGUGCUACCUUUUUUUCAAAAAAAGAAAAAAGUUUAAAUUUUGAAGUUGAAGUGCCGUAGAUUGGUUCAAAUUAAAUAUGUUGGAAAAUUAAUAAGUAAAAUUAAAAUUUUGAAAGAUUAGAUAGACGAUUCAAAAAUGAUACGUAGUAGUUUAGAUAGAUUUUAUACAUUUUUAUUAGUGAAGUACAAUGUAGUGUUAGACUACACUGAUGCAUUGAAGUUGAUUUGAUCAAAUCUACCACCUAAACAUUGAUUUGGUGUAGGAAUAAAAUGACUUUGAAUUAUAUUAACUAGUUGAAAUGUAAUAUAUGCUGAAUCUGAUGAAUAGUUUAGUUCAAUUCGAUGUAUUUUUUUGUAGUUAAAGGAUAGUAAAUUUGAGAUUGAGAUUCACCCCGUAAUUACCCUGAAUUAUUAUAGCAAUUGUGGCAGAGCAAAGCACCUAUAGUAGAUCUCUGGAAUGGUAUGAAUGGUACAAGGAGAGGAGAGAAUCCACAAAAAAGGAUGCAGUUGCUCACAACAUCAUUAAUAGUGCCAAAAAUUAACAAACCUCCACUAUAUAUUUAGGAGAAAGAUGAACUCAGGCAAAUUUAAGCUGUACCUUUUAAAACACACAGGCAUGUACCAUGCAUGCCACCUCAUAUAGGAAUCUAACUAAAGGUCACACACACACACACUCUCUCUCUCUCUCUCUCUCUCUCUCUCUCUCUCAUAUGAUGUGAUUAGCAUUUGUGGCAUCAUCCUUGCAGAAUCCUAAGAGGGAAGAUGCUAAAUUUAGAAGGGAAUGUACUAAAUUUUCUGCAUGUUUAGUCUUGCUCUUGUUUCCAGACUCAUCAAUUUUAAAUUUUUUGCUAUGGUUGGAAAUAGAAAUAAGAUUCUAAGGACCAAAAUUGAAAGUUUCCACUUACAGUUUUCCUUGUACUGUAGUGAGAAGUUAUGUGCUUGUUUUUUUUAGUAAUUUAAUGGCAUGAUAGCGUACAACAACACUGUAUCUGGACUCUUUCAAGGCGGUAACACUGUUCAGGGAAAAAGUGCUAGGGUCCUCUUUAUUUUUUUACUGGUUUUCAUAAAAAUUAAUAAAAAAUAUAUAUUUUUUGUUUUGUUUUUUUUUUUUUACUAUACAUACCUUACUUUUUCUUCUGUAAUCCUAUAUAUAAUAUAAAAUAUCAUAGGUGAUGUGUGAGUGUAGCUGUUGUAUUCAUACCGUACAUCUCUUAAUUCAAUAGCUAAAAAUUUGGUAGCACCAAUGACUUGGAGCCAUUAAUAAUAUAUUAGUCUAGUUAUAUAUACGUUAUUUGGUCACUGUUUAUGUGUGUGCGAUUGUUUGUUUGUUUGUUCUUCACUAAAGGGAACUUUAUUUAUUCACUCUUUAAGACUUCGUUGUGUUAAAAUGUAACGGUGAAAUCGCAUCCGUGGAGUGCACGAGAACAGGGUACUUUUUCGGUACACCUAAGGGAAGUUUAAAGUAAACCCGUGGUUAAUCCAAACAACGACUACGAAGAAAUAGAGAAACAUCGGAGGUUUUCAUCCUCUUUUUCCUUUUAAGUGACUCUUUACUUCUUUGUUUUAUUAUUAUUAUUAAUAACAAUAGAGGUAUCUAGGUUACUUAACUUAGUUUGUUGUGUUUCGUAAUGAAAACUCCGUACCUCUUUUGUACAAACGAACUAGCUACUCCAGAUCACUGACAACCAUCCACGUACGCAAGCUAAUAUUCACCGAUUACUGUGGUCGUAUACGUACUAUCAUCAUAGCUGUUUUCCUCAUCAACUACUUUCGUUUCAAAUUAGCAAACGUGGACCACGAGGUACAGUGAGUACGUAGAGAGUCACUACUUGGGAGGUAAUGAGAAAAAAAAAGAAAAAAGAAAAAAAAAAAACUCUCUAUCCAUCGUGAGAUGGACAAAGCAAAUAAAGUAAAUCUUUAUUUGAAUCGACCUUUACACUUAGUUCAUCCUAAGUUUGAACCCAGAGCCUAUGGUUGAUGGUUCCGGAAACGGUGAACGAGAUCUCUGCCAACCAUACUUGGGAGGUAAUGACAAUUUUAUAUAUAGCUCAAACUUAGAGUCAUGAAAUAACAAAGUAACUUCAUGUUCGAGGUAAAGAAACUUCAAGUGUUGGACCCACAUUACCUGGAUUACCACGGAACUCGGGCUCGUUCCCCUUCUUGAGAGAUUAUAUUGUACGAUUUAUUAUAAAAAGACUGUCGAAUAAGAAAAUCUCCUUUUUAUAUUAAUAAAAUGUUAAUAGCGUUGCAACCAAGAUUUUAAUAUAUAUAUAAAUCUAUGAACUAACUUGAAAAUUCUAUCCCACUUACUAGUACUAGAGAGAGAGAGAGAGAGAGAUCGUCACCCGCGUCCAAGUUAUUUGGUCCUGUAUAUACAUGCUGCACCCGGAUUUUAACGUACGUACUCGAGAUUUUAAGCACCUACAUUAACUCUGUCUCGAAGUGUUUCCUCCUUUGUGUAACCAUCAUGAAACGUUUUCUCAGGUUAGUUUUUAACCUCCUCAGGAGGGAGUAAUUUUCUACUCUUCUCCCCUCACUUUUGAGCUUUUUUUCUUUUUUUUUUUUUUUCCUCUUUUUUGACUCGGACAGGUGGAAAAACAAGGGAUACUACCUGUAUCGGUUUACAGGUGAGAGGUGUAGAGAGAAACAGGGACAAUAGGAGAGACGAUAGGUAUUAUGUACUCGGUAAGGUGAGAUUAGGCAUGGAGUAAGUAAUAACGAUACAUGAGCACAAUAGGAGUAACGGGGCUUUCGCUUUUUUAUAAAUUUUUUUUCCGGUUGAACGUAUUUUUUAAAUAAUCAAAACUCGAAUACAUUUUCUUUCUACAGUAAAAUUUAAAAUAUCUAAGCCUAGUGUAAAAGUUUUUUGACUAAUUUUAAUAAAAAAAAAGGGAGGAGAAAAAAAAAAGAGAGUAAGAAAAAAAAAAGAAAGACAGGCUUCUCUCACCGCUUCCGCUUCCGCCUCCGCCUGGCAGAGCGGAGGUAGGGGUGUGGGACUAGGAGCGGGCGCGUAGGAGGGAGGUGGAAGGAAUGAAGACUGGGGCAGCUCCAGGGCGUAGCUGGAAGAAGACUGGAGCGGCUCCGCUCCUUCCACCUCCCUCCUACGCGCCCGCUCCUAGUCCCACACCCCUACCUCCGCUCUGCCAGGCGGAGGCGGAAGCGGAAGCGGUGAGAGAAGCCUGUCUUUCUUUUUUUUUUCUUACUCUCUUUUUUUUUUCUCCUCCCUUUUUUUUUAUUAAAAUUAGUCAAAAAACUUUUACACUAGGCUUAGAUAUUUUAAAUUUUACUGUAGAAAGAAAAUGUAUUCGAGUUUUGAUUAUUUAAAAAAUACGUUUAACCGGUUUUUCUUUUUUUUUUAUUUCUUCUUCCGUUUUUUUUCCUUCUGUACAUUACUCAACUGUAAAAGAGAAAACUUUUCGAACAAGGAAAAAGGAGCUUUCUAUUAUACACUGAGGUAGAGUGCGUGUUAUGAAACUACACACUAUAUAUAUAAACCUAAACUAAAAGAUACAUACUCAACCCAUCUUAUAAUCUAAUGAACAAUCACCCAAAAGAAAAACUCUUAUACACAGCUGUCGGCCUUUGGCCUCUUCUGGACUCUGUUCUGUCUCGCCUAAUCAUCGUAGACAAUUAAUGAAUUCUUGUUUUAGCUUUAAUUAAUAUCGAGAUUAUUUAUAAUUGUAUAAAAUUACGACCAAACCCGCUCUUGCUGAAUAGACUAUUAGUUUUUCACACACACACACACACACACAUCUAUUACGAAGUAUAUCACUUCUCUUUUAUGAACCUUAUUAUACAAACGUGCAUAAAUAUAUUAAGAAAAAAUUGGUUGUUUUACACUUUUAACGAUCUUUAAACUACAGUAGCUGGGUUUCUUAUACCAAGAACAGGUGAGAUAUUCACGUCGUUGAUAACUUCCGGUGUUAAACUAAUUACGCGACAUAUACAUUCAGUUAAUGAUCGAGCCUGUGUUAUUAAUUACAUAGUUGAAAAGAAACAUGUACGACCAAGAAAAUAACAAAUUAAACCACCGAAGAAGUUGGUUUGUAUAUACGUAAUCUUUAAAUUCAUUUACGCUGAUGCGUAGGUUUUACCGUUUGGCAGGAAAAUAAUUCCUGGAUUGCACAGAAAAGAGAAGGAAAUAGAUGAAAAAAAACCUAACGCUGAAAGUAUUUGAUGAAUGAGAUAAAGAUUAAGCUAUUGUUUAAAUGAAAAUUAAUCAUCUCACUUUGAAAACUACAACCAAUUAAGUUGAUAUAUAUAUAUAUCGAACUACUACCCGAUAUGUGUUAUAUACCUCCUAUUAAUAAAAGAAUCUUUAUAUAUCCGGUAUUGGUAUCUGGGUUUAAGACCCCGAGAUGAACCAUUCCAAGCCCACUUUAAGUUUUUUAAGUUUUUAUUUUUUUUUAUUUUUAAGUCACAAUAUAUGCCUAUCAUUUAAUACUUGUAUUUUGUAAUUAAUUUGUAUAUACUUUCUUAUUCGAGAGAAACAUGGAAUAAAAUAUAUCCAAUAAUUUUGUAUUACUUGUCAAAUAAACCGUUAUGUUCUACAUAUUUUAUAAAUUAAAUCAAUCAUUUAAUAAAUAAUUAUAAUCAUACUUAUAUUACCGUACGUGGGGUACUACUACACAAUCGUAAAGGUGGAAACUUUUUAGGUGGAACUUUUAAGAUGUAUUUGAUUGCCAGUGAUAACCAGUAGUGAUCGAAGUGCCCUCCUUUAUCUAAUGCAUAGUGUAACCGUAAGUACGUCCGUUUUUAUUCUAUUAUAAGGAUUCAAAUAUAUAUAUAUAUAUAUAUAUAUAUCUCAACUCGAUACUAUGAAAAUGUUCAUAGUGGUAGUACCACGAUAAUCCAAAAUUCGGUAACCUAGAUGAAAAACUAAUAAUUAUCGGGAACCUAAUUUGUAAUAAGGUGGAUGGUGGUGGAUGGUGGUAGUAGAGUUGGAGUGUAGAGAGGUAGGUUUCCGAUUUUUGUGUGUUCAUAGUGGGGGUACUACGAAAAUGUUCAUAAGAUCGGGAUGAGAUAUAUAUAUAUAUAUAUAUAUNUGCGUUCUUAUAGCACGGAAGCGUCCGUACGGACUUUUUUUUUUAAGGAAAAACUUCAAAUACUCCCUGUAGUUUCGUACGUUUUCACUUUAGUAUCCUGUGAUUUAAAAUAGAGUUGAGCUAGAAUACUAUCGGUAGUAAACGAACCGUUUUACUACCGAUUUGUUUUCGAUGAUAGAGCUUCCAAAUUGACGAUCGGCUCUGCUAAAUAUUAUCUAAAUCAUUUAAACUACCUAGAAAUCAAAUUUCACGCACUUUUGAUAUUAUUCUUUUAUCCAUCAAGUGAAUAGAAAAAUGAAUGAUUGAAAAUAAAUACUCUUAAAAAAAUGAUGAUAGGAGUCUUGUAAUCAAGAUCAAGAGUAUAAAUUUUGUUUUAAAUAGUUUAAAGAAUUUUCUAAUAAAAAUUCAAUUGAUUUGUAUAUUUUUACGCCUUAAACGAGAAAACGCCUCUUAUCGACCAUUAAAAUUACAAAUUUUAAAACACUUUGAUCAUUAGGCAAAUGAUGUCGAAAAGAUUUGAAAUUUAAUUUCUAAACACUUCAAGUGGUAUAGAUCAUGUUCAACGGAGUCGAUCGUCAAUUUGGAAACUCUAUCAUCGAAAAUAAAUCGGUAGUAAAAUGGCUUAUUUACUACCGAUAGUAUUCUAGCUCAACUCUCUCUCUCUCUCUUUUUAUAUAUAUAU
Molecule: long non-coding RNA, 50229 nt
Filed under: Ananas comosus (pineapple)
Lineage: Eukaryota; Viridiplantae; Streptophyta; Magnoliopsida; Poales; Bromeliaceae
Description: long non-coding RNA (ACOM_LNC027275)
Source: RNAcentral